This 55966-nucleotide long non-coding RNA is filed under the name Setaria viridis. RNAcentral's name for it is "long non-coding RNA (SVIR_LNC009849)". Lineage: Eukaryota; Viridiplantae; Streptophyta; Magnoliopsida; Poales; Poaceae. The record is from RNAcentral.
CGACGCGUGCCUCCUCCGCUUCUCCGACAAGAAUUUCCUUGAACUCCUCCAUAAUGCUUCCAUGGCAUCUUCAGCAGAUUACAGCGAUGGUGCUCUCAUCCUGAUGAAUGUCACCACCGAGCCCUUGUUCUCUGGUUGGGACAAGGGCCUCAACCAGGAGACAACCAUCAUCCACUUCAUCAACAUGGCGCUGAACAACACAGUGCAGAAGGUGUUCAACAACACAGGGAAGCACUACGCUGCAAUCCGCAGCACGACCGAUGAUGGAAGCGGAAGCAUUCCGCCAAUCUACUCCAUGGCGCAGUGUGUGCCGGAAUUGAUAGUGGAUUUCUGCUAUCGCUGCCUCACGAAUAUCAGCAACCUGGCGAUGACGAACUUCGCCGGGCGGCAUCGAGGACAGAUCCUUGGUGCGUGGUGUAAUCUGAGGUACGAUACGUAUCCGUUCUAUGGCGAGCUGACCUCCGUGCCGUCGAAUGGUCUUGUUCCAACUCCAGCACCGCAACCCACCCCGCUGCCAGCACCAUCUCCCAAUCACAAGAGUAAGCAGCAUUUCUUUACUGUCCAUUGACUCAUCAAGGAGAAGAUUGUUUUCAUAUCACCACGCGACAAGCAUUGUAACUAGCUAACCAUUUGCAUUUAUUUAAUAGAGCCUCUUGGAAGGGCCUUGAUUAUUGCCUUGGUUGCUCCACUAUUUGCAUUGUUUGUCUGCGUCCUCGUUUCCUUCAGAUUCAUAAGGCACAUAAGAGGUCGGCAACCUUGACAAAAAUAUUUUUGAGCUUUAUUUCAUGUUUUUUCAAAAUACUAGAUUGGUGUGAUUGUGCAUUAAGUUUAACUGAAUGUAUCACAUCAACUCUGAAUUUAGCUAAGAUGAAUGUCCAUGAAGAUGAAGCACUGAUUUGGGGACUGGAAGGAAGGAAUCCGGAAUUCACGAUUUAUGACUUUUCACAAGUAUUAGAGGCUACAUGUAAUUUCUCGGAAAAUAACAAACUUGGGCAAGGAGGCUUCGGUCCUGUAUACAAGGUACACAUGAAUAUGCCCAUACUCAAAAAGACAAAACCAGAACUUCAGCUUUACAUAUCAUUCAAUUAUGCAGUUAACUCUUCUUCGUUUCUGAUUUGUCUCCGACAGAAUAUUAGUCAGGUAUCACUAACGGUCGGUUCUAAACUUGUCCCAGGGCCGAUUUGCUGACGGGCUGGAGAUUGCAGUCAAGAGACUUGCUUCACAUUCAGGGCAAGGCUUCAUAGAGUUCAAAAAUGAAAUACAACUCAUAGCUAAGCUCCAGCACACAAACCUUGUUAGGCUCUUAGGAUGCUGCUACCAGAAACAGGAGAAACUACUAAUCUAUGAAUAUUUGCCAAAUAAAAGCUUGGACUUCUUCAUUUUUGGUAUUACUUCUCACUUCAUUGCAAUACAAAAUCUUGGUUAUUAAAUGUAAGUGUCAAUUGUAUUUUCUUUAAUAUACCUAUGAUAAAUAAUUUGCAGAUGAAACCAGAAGAGCCUUGGUAGAUUGGAACAAACGGCUAGAAAUAAUAGAAGGGAUAGCACAAGGACUUCUAUAUUUACAUAAGCACUCUCGCUUGCGUGUCAUCCAUAGAGAUCUCAAAGCAAGCAACAUUCUCUUGGACCAUGAAUUGAACCCAAAAAUUUCAGAUUUUGGGCUCGCAAAAAUAUUUGGCAUAAAUGAUACUGAACGAAACACAAAGAGGAUUGUUGGGACAUAGUAAGACUUACCAACUUGUCCAUCCCAGCUAUACAAAUAGCUAACAAUACUGUUACUUGACAUAAGGAUCUAAUUACAUGUCCUUUCAGUGGUUAUAUGGCUCCAGAGUAUGCUUCAGAAGGCCUCUUCUCAGUCAAAUCUGAUGUAUUCAGCUUCGGUGUGCUUAUUCUUGAGAUUGUCAGCGGUCAAAGAACAUCAGGUUUCCACCGAUAUGGAGACUUCAUCAACCUUCUUGGGCACGUAAGUGUUUUUCAAUUCUGAACAUGAAAAAAAAUGUGUUUAUGAUCUUUCAAAAAUGGUAAGGAAAAACUUUUGAAGGGCAUGACACUGUUUUCAAACUACCGCGACUACUCCACCACUAACAGUAUUCCCUUCUCCGGUGGAUCAUUGAAGCAUUUCCAAAAUCAUGAAGUCCCUUUAUGUAUUUUGUCAUCAUAAUCUUUCUGCAUUUUGCGCUCGUGCACUUUGCAGGCAUGGCAGUUGUGGAAAGAAGAAAGAUGGCUUCAGCUCGUGGAUGCAUCAAUUGCUGAGAAUCAGAAUCUAGGGAUGAUGAGAUGUAUUAUUAUCGCAUUGUUGUGUGUCCAAGAAAAUGCUGCUGAUCGACCCACUAUGUCAGAUGUGAUUGCCAUGCUAAGCAGUGAAAGCAUGACCUUGCCUGAGCCUAAGCACCCGGCAUAUUUCCAUGUAAGGUUGACAGAGGAUGAGGUGUCCACACUUGUCGAGCCUUGCAGCCUUAAUUAUGUCACAAUAUCUGGUGUUGAUGGCAGAUAGUUUCCAAAUUUCGUUAUAGAUCAUGUUAAAACUUUAGUAUUUUGUUCCACUCAAGGGCUUUUCCAGUCUUAACUCUGAAAUCGUUAAGAAUUUCAGCGUCACAGAGUAUCUCUGUGUUCCUUAGACGAAAUGGAGCAAAGCAUAUGCAUGAUUCUGUAGUUUCUCCUUUGUUCAUUUCAUUCAGAACAUGAUCUGAUCUGUAGACACUUGCCUGCCCCUUUGGAGCUAUUAACUAUCGGUACUACUUGCUUGUGGCAACCCUUAAGAUGCAGAUACUUUAUGUACUUCCUUUACUACUAGAGAACACGAUAUGGGUGGGUUUAGCAUCAAUUAGCAGCAAACCAAAACAGACUGCAUGCCAUUUUCUACUACAUCAACAGAAGGACAAGCAUGAUGCAUCCAAUGUUCUCCAAGAUUUAGAACUUGAAACAACUUAUAACCAAUCAAUUGUCACUACCUUUGUUUUACCAUGAUAACAAAAUGCAUGGCUUCUGCGCCAUAUCAUGCCUUCCAACAUGACUGAGGUAUCUAUUGCAUAGUCGACCGUAAUGCUUCAAAUAAUUUAGAAAAAAGUCAGACACAAAUUUUUAUGCAUAAUGGUAUGGUCACGGAAACAUUUUUUCCCCAAACAAUUUUUCCCCAAACAAGUUGAUUAUUACAAAUCCAUUUUCUUUUGAAUCAAAAUUGCAAAGGAAUACAUUUGAAUUUGGUUUAUGCUUUGUACUGGUAUGAUAUGACCAAGCACGUUUUCUUUCACUAUCCAUUUACCCAAAUUAAUUUGGACACAGCUACAGACUUUUUUAACGAAAAGAUACCAGUACGACUUAGUAGUACUUGGUAUGAAGAAAAUGACUUCCUGCUGAACUGACAGUAAAAAGAGAAAAAAAGGGAAAAAAAGAAAAACAUUGCCCGGCACCUCCCUUUCACUUCUCAUGCAUGGUGGAGCUAGCAACCACCAGCUGACAGCAGCUAUGGCACGCUCUGACAGCAGCAAGCGAUUAUGCGCGCAGCUCCUCUCUUGGCUUCGAGGCGGCGCGAGCAGAGGCUGCGGAACAGAGGAGCGGAGCAGAGCCUGCGGAACAGAGCAGCGGAGCAGAGCAGAGGCUGCAGAGCAAAAAAUUAAUGUAAGUAUUUUUAGAAGAGAGUUAGAAAGUUAGAAUAAGGAGGUGUUCAUAUGGGAUGUUUGGAUACUAAUUAGGAGUAUUAAACAUAGGCUAAUUACAAAAUUAAUUGCAUUCGCGAGACAAAUCUAUUAAUCCUAAUUAGUUCAUGUUUUGACAAUGUGAUGCUACAGUAACCAUUUGCUAAUGAUGGAUUAAUUAUGCUUAAUAGAUUCGUCUCGCGAAUUAGUCCAGGAGUUCUGCAAUUAAUUUUAUAAUUAGCGCAAUUUAGUCCUUCUAAUUAGCAUUCAAACAUCCGAUAUGACACUGCUAAAGUUUAGCACCUAGUAUUCAAACAGCGCCUAACUUGCAUAAAACUGACUAACACCACUAAAGCAUUGUGGAAAUUUCGAGAGAGGCCGGAUGAUGCAUGCUUUCCUAGUGACGUGGUCACAACUACCAUGGUCAUGUUCUUGCUUCUUCUAAUGCAUGCCAAACUCAUCAAGCAUGCACAUCGACUGGAGGUCGCGACGUAUGCCUGUAUAUAAAGCUCUUUACAUCCAUUCAGUUGUCAGAGUGAACAAGUAGCGCUGGUAGCUAAAAACCCCAAAGGAAUUAGCAUAGGUGAGAGAAGAGGCACAUCUCUGCUCAUGUAACACUCCAAGAAAUGUGUUGGAACAAUUUCUUUUGAUUUCUUUCCCUCUUCGUGCUUUUGUAUUACGAAAUUGGAGGUUGACAUAGCAGGAACCAGAAGGAACUACAAGUGCAGAUAGAAAAAAAGACAUGUGAGAUGUUGGAGAAAACUGACUUGAUCAAGUGACUCAAGGAAGCCAUAUCAGUCAUUCAACACAAAUCUUCAAACUUGUCUGUUGAGGAUCUAGGCCAAGGAUAUCAACUUCGCUCGUUGGAGGUCGAGCGUUAUUACGUUCUCUGUGUGAACACCUUCGGAGGUCAGAGGUGCAGUGUUCUUUGUCCUUGUUUGCAUGAAUGUGAACAAUGGAUCUCGAGAAGUGAAGGUGUCGUAGAUACGGUGAACAAGCAUGGAAGAGGACUGAGGACUACGAAGGUGAACCGAAGACCACACGUCAGGGACAAGGCAACGUGAGAAGCGUGACCGUCAAGUAGAGUUCAAGUUGGAUUAGGACUUUUUGUUACCAUUUUGUAAGGCACAUUCCAUGAAUGCAGUUGUUGAGUGAGGUUGGUUUGGUAAAGAAAAGGAGAUUCUGUUAUAUUUUAAAAAAUACACUCGGUGUUGUUACCACUUUUCAUUGAGUGGCAUUGUGUAGAUCGGUCGUAGACAAAAGCUUGCGGGUGAAUGUUUAUUGGAAAAUUUUCAGCCAGAUAAACCCCCUUUAAACAAUAAUUAGACAUCAAAGCAUCAUCUCGUUUUUCAUAUCGACGCUGCAAGAGCAGAGACUGAAGAACAGAGGAGUGGAGCCACAUGAGGCGGCCAUUCAAAGAUGUAUUUUUGCAAACUUCUGCAGCAGUAGAACCGAGCCAGCCAUGCCUGGGAUGAGCGCCCACCAGAUGAUGCAGGCGUCGUCGUCUUCACUACCUUUUUUUCUGAAUGGAUUUGCUGUAAAUAUUACUAGAAGGGAGUUUGAAAGAACAAACAAGUAGAUCUUUUUGUGUGUUUUUGGUGUGUGGGAAACAUAUGCUGAUAUGCAUGUUGGAAAUUUGAAGAGAGGGCUGGUGAUGAAUGCCUCUUGCUGGUGAAUUGGUAGAAAGCAACCUGCAUGGUCACGCUUCUUCCUUCUUCCCGAUGCAUGCCAAACGCAUCCGAUAUGCGCAUUGACAGGAGCGCAGGACGUAUGCCUAUAUAUAAGACCGUUUACGUCCAUUCAGUUGGCAGAAUGGACAGGUAGCUUUGGUAGCUCUCACUCCAGAGGAACUAGCAGAGAUGAGAAGAGGCACAUCUCUGUUCAUGUAGCACUCUUAGCAAUGUGUUAGAAUAUUUUCCUUUGAUAUCUUUUCCUCUUCAUGUAUUUGUAUUAUGAAGUUGGAGAAUGACAUCGCAGGAAUCGGAAGUAAUUGCAAGUUUAGAGAGAGAAAUAAUAGCUAAUAGGUGUGUGAGAUGUUGGAGGAAUCUGACAAGAUCAAACGACCAUUGCAAUACGAACAUGCAGACCAGGUGUCAAUUGGUUACCAAAGCUUAAAUUAUCAACUGCCAAGGAAAGCAAUGUCCACAAUCCCUAUAAUUAUCCAGUUGAAUCAUUUCUUAAUGUUCAUUCGGAAUAAAAAUGAUCUCUGUAAUGGACGUACCAAACGUACUACUAAAAAUGUAUCUCAAGAAUAUUCAGCAUUUGAACUAGCUGCCGGCAGUUUUUUCUUGAAUCAUUUGGUAUAUUUUGUGGGAGUGACACUGCAUAAGUAUGCAACACCUGGGAGGACAAAACGAAUACCUCAGUCCUUGGGGAAAGACACAAGCAUGACCCUCCCUUCACGCUAUGAGAAGCUUCAUCAGCAGACUAUGGAAGUGUUAUUUUCUUCAUGCACACAAUGACUAUACAACAAAUUCGCAUGUGGUGGAUCUUUGUGGGGAGGGAAAUGUAUGAAAGUCGUUACAUGGUCAUGUCUUUGCUGCUUCUAAAGCAUUACAAACGCAUCGAUCUUGCACAUUGCUAGCAGUGCGGGAAGUAUGCCUGCAUAUAAAUCUAUCUCCAUCCACUCAGUUGCCACGACGAACAAGUAGUAUGAUAGCGGUACUAUUCCCAAGGAACUACCAGAGAUGAGAAGAAUUAAACUUCUGUUCAUGUAGCACUACUCAAGUGUGUUUUAAAUAAUUCUUUCAGUCCCUUUUGAUCAUUGAAAUAUCAGGCACCUUCACAGUGGUAAAGCUCAUUUUUUAUUUGAAAAGGUGUGAGAUGUUGGAGGUGGCUAAAAUCAUCAAAUCAUCGAUACGCGAUACGCAUUUGAUAAACACCUGUGCUCCCGUACAGGCUAAUGUUUUUAGAAGCUAUUGUAUUUAAAAAUUAUUUAGAAAUUAAACUCCUAGCUAAUAAUUAAAAUUAUUUACCUACUACUCUCUUAUUUUUCAAUACUUCAACAUAAUACUUAUAUAGAUAUGUACCUAUCUUUGUCCAAUUGUGAUUGAUUUUUAAUUAAUAAUUACUCAAUGCACUUUUUCAUCCAUAUUCAUAUUUUUUCCAUUUUGUAUCACACCUCCAAUCCUCCAUACAUUAUGUUUAGCAUACAAAUCAAUAUUUUUCAUUGAUUCCUCACAUGCAUGUAUAAAUGGUCUAAAUGGUGGUACUCAUCAUGUCUAUAUACUUUAACUUAGUAUUUUUCUAUUAACAAUGACAUAAAUAGGUAAUUUAAAAUUAUAUAUUAAUUUACUUUUUGACAUUUCUAUAUGAUGCACUGAAAAUAAUUAGAUUAAGAUUUAGGUGUUUACAUUAGGUUAUUUUUAAUAACGACAUACGUGGAUAACAUAGAUAAAAUUUUAGAAUGACAUUUUAAGUUAUGCUUUAUAAUGAUGUGUAUUACUAAAUUGGAUGAGUGUUAGUUUAGAUUAUUUUUUAUAAUAGUUAAGCUCGGUAAUUGAAAUAUAGGUUUAGAGCUCAUUUUUGAAUAUUUUCCCAAUAAUAGUGGUGGGUAACUUUUUAGAAAAUAUAAUAGAUCAAUGGUCAUGAUUAUUAGAGUUUACAGGAUUGGUGUUUGACGUUUUUAAUUUUUAUGAGAAUUUAUCUUUUUUUUUGGCUUGUCUCAUGGGAACUAAUGCGGAGCCUCCAAUGUAAAAAAAAUGAGACUAUGCUAAAAAACUAUUACCAUAAGCUAGCUCUCGUUUGUUAAAUAUUCGAACACACAAUGCUUAUGUAGAUAUAUACUUAAUAUCUUCAUCCAAUUGUGAUAGAUUUUAGUUAGUAAUUACUCUAUAAUAUUUUCAUCCAUAUUUAUAAUCUUUAAGUUUUCACUUUGCAUCGCAGAUAUGUCCUUGAAUUUGUUUAAUGAACCUUAAGUUUGAGAUACAAUUUUAACAUAGAAAUCUAUAUUCUUAUCACUUUAUAUCCUAUAAAUGGUGACACACAUCAUACGUAUAUACCUUAUUAUUAUAUCGUAUACCAGUGCAAGAUAUAGACGAUUUAGAAUCAUAUAUUGCUGUAUAUUUUUAAUUAAGGUUAUUUGAUUCAAACGUAGAGGUACCUCAUGUUAUUUUUAAUAAUGGCAUGUGUGGGUAAUAUAGAUGCAAAUUUAAGGGGCUACUUUAAGUUUUUUAAGUAAUAGUGGUAGGCAAUUCAGUUGCAAAUUAGGGGGUUAUUUUAAAUAUUGUUUACAAUGGUAUAAGUGUGUAAUUUUGAUGAAUAUUAGGGGGUUACUUUAGUUUAUUUUAUAUAAUGGCAGAGGUGGGUAAUUUAUAUAUAAAUUUAGGGGGUUACUUUAGGCUAUUUUCAUAAUGGCAUAAGUGGGUAAUUUUUUAGAAAAUAUAAUAGAUCCAAUGGCUAUGAUAAUUUGAAUCUAUCGAUGGAUGGUCGGAUGUUUUGCUUUUUUGUGAGAAUUUUUAGGAUUUCUCUCUUUUUCUAGAGUGUCCAACUAGGAAUCCUAGGUGGCUUCACCUGAAGGCUUCAAAAGGAGCCUCCAAUUAGUAAUAGUAAGAUGCUACUGGUUGGAGACAUGGUGUGUAACAUCCCGUCCUCCAAAGCCGUACCGCCCAGCUCUUCCGAGGGACGAGCACACGUACACAUAUCACCCUGCUUACACUUUCAUCCUCGCUUCGUGUAAAAGGGUUAACCUGAAUGUACUAUGGCUUGUUGACAAAGGCUUAUAAGUUGGCUCCACCCUUGCUCAACUAGCAAGGUGGUACUAAACAUACGCACCUGCGCUCAUGGGCCACACUGGACCAACUAAAUUGGACCGGGUGUCACACAAAGUUAACCGACAAACUCAUACAUUUAUGUCAGCUAAUUUUCAAAAUCGAAAAAAAAUGUUCGAUCUAACUCCUGUGUUCCAAUAUCGGCUUCAAACAUCUCGUUACUCCACAUCUCCCUCGAUCAUAUACAAUGUGCAUAAUUAGAAUUUUGUGGUCUUUGUUGGAAGAUACUAUGCGGGACGGAUGAACAAGUGUGCGGCUUCUGGCUUGGCUUCGAGGCAAAACAGAGGAGCAGGACCGGAACAGAGGAGUGGAGCAGAGCAGAGGCUGCAGAGCAACGGAGAGAUGUCCAAACUAGCGUACAGUUGUAAUCAAGUUCAGGCUGCGACCAUUAUAAUCAAAUCUCGUACUUCCUUCCACUCCAACAACUGAUGUGUUUUCUUACAUUGAUCACAUUUACUAUAUACAGACACUGAUUUUCUUCUGGUUCCAUUGAUCCUUCUUGAUAGCAGGCAAGGAGGCCUGGUGGCCGCCCGUGGUGAACAAGGCUAGGGAAGCUCAGGCAGGGACACGAAGCCUGUUGAGGACGUGGCUUUGUGGUGGAGAUAAGUUCUUUAUUUUGACUGCUGUUGCUGGAUUGCUGCCGACUCCUUUCUCCGUCAGUCAAUGGCAAUGGCUCUUUUAUAAUGUCAGUUGCUUAGAGUUGGUGCUAGUUUCCCCAAUACAAUAGAAUAUUUCGUGAAUUUUCUGCUAGAGAAGCCAGGUGAGCAUAGUGCUGCCUAUUCACUCAGUUGUCACGCUUCUACAACCAAUUCAUACCGAAACCAUGCUCUACUUGGGCACAAAGAAAAAGCAUUAUGUAAAAAGUGAACAAGUGGAAGUCAUAACAGUGAACAAGUCAUAACAGAAGCAUGACAAGUGAUAGAAAGUGGCAUGUUACUCAUGCUUGUUGUGGUGCUAAUUCAUGCCAAACCCAUCUAGGGGACAGGCAGUAUGUAAUAUAAGUAUCAUCAUCUAAAUGGUUGUCACGGUGAGCAAGUAGUAUUGAUAGCUGUUACUCCAUGGACCACUCUGUUCUGCCGACUGUUCAUGUAGCACACCAGCCAAAGAGUUUGAACAAUGCCCCUGCACCCUGUUUUUUUUUUGUGCCUGCAUGAACAAGAACAACUGCAGUCAAGUCUCAUGAGAGAACAGGCACAUGUUUGUCAGACAUUGGAGGAAACUGAACUAACCACGAGACAAAACAAACCACAUAUGCCGAAUUCUGAUGCAUGCUACAGUAUUCUGCGAAUGCUGAGGAGGAUACCGGUGGUGGUGUAUGAAGUCAGCAAAGAUGGCACCGACGUCUCGGCGAUUGAAGGCGCCAUUUGUCUCAGCGAGUUCGACGAGGGCGAUGAGAAGGUACGCGUGCACUCGAGGUGCUACCAUGGCUUCCAUGUCCAGUGCAUCGAUGUGUGGCUGACCACGCACAACUUGAUCCUCGAGGAAGCGUUGCAUGCUACUCAUGAUCUUGCAGCUUAAACACAUAAACUUGGGGGUUGGCAGUAUGCAUAGGCGUACAUCCAACACCGUACUAGAUGAACUUGCAUAGAGAACACAUUUUAUUUGAUGAAUAACUCCAAGUGAAGUUAACUGAUUUCAUUGAGAAAUUGUUCUUUCUUUUUGUACUUCAGUCAUGAGCUUGGAAGCAUCAAAGUAUGUGUGUAUUUUCAAAUUACAACUUUGCAGUGAUUCGCGUGAGAUGUCGGUGGAAGCUGAAGUGAGGGAGAUGUAAGCAGUAGGUCGAAAUGGGAUUCUCCAUGCGCAAGACCCUUGUUCCGUUGAACUAGCUGAAUAGCGCUGUUUAAUACAUUUCUAAAACAACUAUGUAGAGAACAAUCGUACUCUAGUUGUACCCAUUCCCUGCCAAAUCCCAUGUACUAUCUCCUUGAUAUACUGAGAUGAUCUAUUACUAAUAUUGUUGAUGACCUAUUUAAUAAGGGGAAGAUCCAGACACACACACGUAACCUGAAGUGACCACUGAAUCAUUGAUACAGUGGUAUUCUCCAACACAUAAAUGCUACACCUAUGUUCAACUUCUUUGCAAAAGAAUAUGAGCCUGUCAAACUCUUCUUCAGGUGAAUGAUAUUUUACAUGUUUUGGCAAACUCAUUUUAGACCGUUAGUUAUUUAAUCUGAUGACCCAUAUCAGUCGCCGCCCGUCCUACCAAGAGAUAACAACCUUAUACUAGGAGAACCAAUCCAUGCCAAGAAUCACAUCAAAAGGCUCCAACGGACUCACCCGUAAGUUAGCAAUAAAAUUCUUCUGCAAGAGUGACAACACAGCCUGAACAAACUAUAGAACUUAAAACAAGCCAAGCCCUCUAGCAGAACUAACAAGAAUAGCCUCCCCGAUCCUUUCAACAGAAAGACCCAAAUGACCAACAGAAGCCUUCGAGACGAAAGAGAAACUAACUCCAGAAUAAAAAAAGAGCAUGAGCAUCAUAGGAAUCAACCGAGAUGAUACCUGUCACCACGUCACCACGAUCUCUAGCAUUAGUGGUAGGCAUAACAUAUGCCCCCGGAACGCCAGAUGAAGAAGAGGCACCCAAAGUAGGACCCGUCGGAGUGGGAGCCCAUGGAACCAUGGGUGCUGAAGGAGUAGCAUGGGGCAUCCAGUAAGCCCCAGUCUGAAGCGUAGGGGCAGCCGACGGUGUCACCAGUGUUGCUAAGUAUUGAGGUGUAGGGGCAGGUAGGUACUGCUGUGGUGGUGGUGUAGGUAGGUGAGGAGUAGAAGAUGCAGCUGCCAUCAUAUGGAAUGCACCAUUGGGAGCUGAAGAAGACACUAGCUCCCAAUUAAGCUUGGCUUCAGGAUUCUUCCUACAAACCAAGUCCUUAUGAUCUUGACCACAAAUAGAACACUUGUUGGACCAUCGACACUCUUGAAGACGAUGCGCAUCUCCAUAUUUGAAGCACACCAUCCCCAUGCCAGGUUUGGGAAUGGCACGGUACUAAGGAGUACUCCCUCCUAGAGUAGAAGACUGAGCUGAACCACCAUGGUAUGGCUGGUGAUGCUGAAACUUGCCCUUCCUAUGAACAGGACCACUAGAAUGGCUCUUCUUGUCACCCUGACCACGAGAUUGAUCACCACUAGAAGACUUAUUUAGAUCAGCUGUGACCUGAAGCUGCAUCUCAACUCCCAAGGCUUUCUCUACCAUGGAGCGAAAGUCUGUGACUUCAAAGGCGCCCAACACAUGGUGAAUUGAAGGCUUAAGGCCUUGUCGAAACUGCCUUGCUUUGUCAGUAUCAUCAUGGGACACAUGUGGAACAAAGUGAACAAUCUGGUUGAACCCCACCUCAUACUCAAACAUUGUCUUCCUUUCCUGCACAUAGUUAUUUAGCUCAAUUUUCAUCUUGUCCAGGAAGGUCACUGGGUAAAACCUCCUCUCAAACUUCCUAACAAACUUAGGCCAAGUCAAAGAACCAUGUGCAGCCGUGCGAGAUGACUGCAGUACUGCACACCCUUCCACCAAAUCUGUGCCUCACCCUUUAGUAAUUGUGCCCCAUAACAAACACGAUCAUGAACUGACAGCUCAAAAGCUUCCAUCUUAUCCUCCACAUAUGACAACCAAUCAGCAGCCUGAAUAGGAGUACCACUGCCAUCAAAACUAUCCAGCUUCAUGCCAACCCACUCUCUCAGUGAGACACCACUCUCAGGGCCAACUGGGGCAGCAACCUCCUGAGUAGAGCUAGUAGGAUUAGGUUGUAUGCCUCAAAGUCCUCAUCUCAUUUUGCAUCUCACGCAUUGCGGUGAGUAAUUCUGUUUGACUAGUGCCAUCAGCUUGGGCACCACCCGCUGGUCGUGCCCGACCUCACUUCUUAGGCGGCAUAACUACAGCCACCACAACACACAAACAGCACAAAUAUCAAGCUCCAACAAUUUAAAGUAUGCACAAAUGACAAAAUAAUCCACACACAACAAAAUGUACCCAUACCAACCUACAAGUGCAAGUGUGUCAAAUUAGACCUUAUUUUUCCUAGGAUUAAAUUAACCUAGGCUCUGAUUACCAACUGUAACACCCAAAAAAAAACAAACACCACCUUGGGAUGCUACUAAGCCACACCGGACAAAAGGGAAAGAUUUUGACAGCAUCUCCCCUAAAACAGGAACAUUGCGGAAGCAACAAAUAAUAAGGUAUGAAAAUAGAUAAAGCACACUAGCAUAAAUGAAAGAUCCUAACAUGAUAUCCAAACAAUUAAAGGUAAGGUUUAACAAAUCUUAGCCAUCAUUAAGCAAUAAUCAGACUCAUAGAGAAGGACUUAACUAUUACAGUAUCACACUAGAAAAUUUUGAUUAAAGAAAAGUCUGUGACGUGAUGCUACUUCCCAACCCCCAAGCAAAGCAUCCAUCCAUCAAGUACCUGAGAUGAUAGAACAUGGAUGAGAUAUAAAAUCUCAGCAAGUAACUUGCUUUAACAAGCUAUUUAAACUACAAGUUCAUUAGAUAAUGGUUUAACUAUUAUCAGCAAGCAUAGCUCCUUAAUUAAAUAAUAAUAAUAAUAAUAAUAAUGUCAACUCCAACACCCUCGUACAUAAAUAAAACCAAUUCAUUGCCAAACCUUGGAGAAGUUUCACUUCUCACCACCAUUAUCAAAUAAAUGGCAUAAAAAAACCAAUAGCACCCUAAAUGCAAAUGUAAUGCAAAUGCCAUGUCUCCUGCCUUCAUACUCAACAAAGUAUGAAGUUGCAUCGUCAUGCCCAAUAAACGAUGUUGUACCGGUACGGUCGUGGCUAUCAAGCGGCGACAUAACUCCAUAUGCCAUGCAUUGUGAUGCAAUGAAAUGAAAUGCCAAGACAGAUCGCACAGAAAGAGUAUACACCGCAGGUACGAGAUAAGACUUUCUUCAUUUGACAACAUAAACCUCAUCCUAAUUAUGCCAACAAGAGCCAUUACCAAGUUAUAAAGUAAAGAACAAGACAUAUGUAAUAACAACAGUAAGAUGUGCAUAAACCUAUAAUUGAAUGGAUCAUAUCGGAUAAGUUGUCAUUAUGAAAUUUAAGGUGGAGGUAGAAAAAUAGCAAAUUAAAGCUUGUAGCAACCACCGCUACAUUACUUGCCUCCCGAUAAAGGAGACAACUGCUCUAAGCGUGAUCCGGAGUGCUACCACCUGUUUUGACACAAUAAGAUCAGAGCAUAUCCUCAAACAACCAUGUCCACACAGCAAGUAAAGCACUCAUACAGCCCAACCCGACAAACAAGUGAUAAUGGUGAACAUCGCCUAGGCUAACCGUAGCAGUGCUGCUUCACUUUUUUUAUCAAUCAAUCCAUGGAGGCUAUGAUAGCAAACAAAUACACUUACUGAAUCUACAUAACAAGGACUAGAACUUUCAUGAAGAGCUUAUAUUUUAUCAUGCCUUUAAGAUGGCCUAAACUACUGUUGAAAACAGAGUUCAGAAUCUGCUCGAGAAUUGAGACAGCAAGCUUCAUAUUUUCAUAUCUCCAAACCCUUAAGUCCAAAAUUUAUGAAAUUUAAUGAUGCAGCAGAUAAUUUGAUACCCUACAACUUUAGUAUUAUGAACUUUUACAGAAAAAGAUAAUUAAAUGGCCCCAAGCAUGAACCAAUCUUGACUGAAAAUUCUGCUGAGGAAACAAUACAUUGAGCUUGAAAAUCUAUGCCUAGAGUUUCCAUUAUCCACAAAUCAUGAUAUUUAACUAUUCAGAAAGAUAAUGUAAAUUACUACAAAUCUCUUAUAAUUUCUAGAGUCCCAUCAUGCCUCUAUGUUUCUCGAAAACCUCUUACAUCCAGUUCUGUCCAUAAAUUUGUCAGGGAAAGACAGCUUGCUUAGAAAAAUCAUAACUCCCAAAGUAUUGAUGCCAAAAUCAUGAAAUUUCACAAGAUAAUAGAUCUGAAGGUACUCUACAACUUUGUAGAUCAUCACAACACUCAAUUCAGAUUCCAAUUGGCCCAAAUCGCUCUCCCAAACAAGCUACAGGAACUGCACAACCGAAAUCCGAGGAAUGACAUCCCAAUAACUUUUCUUCCCCCCUAAUCCCCUUACACCCAAGGCCAAACCCAUCAUACACAUCUAAUUUGUGCAGGGAAGGACGGAAUGUAACUCACCUUGGUCACCCACAAGCCCUAGGGCAGCGGGAAGAUAGGGGGAAAAGACCGAUUUACAUGGAAGAUGCACCUUUCUUGCUCCUCUUGUUGUCCUCGAUCCGUUUUCCUAGUUUCCCCCGAGAGUUUGCUGCUGUAGAGAGGGGAUUUAGGGAAGGGAAGCCAUGGGAGAGCAAGGGGAGGAGGAAGUAACGUGAGAAGGAAGAGAGGGCUGGUCUGGACGAGAUGAUGAAAGAAAGGGGGCGACGGCCCAGGGAAAGGGGUGGGCUGGCUGGGCCUUUGAUUUUUUUAGUGUGUUAAACACAAGGAGAUGACAGUUGUAUUCCUUCAGUCGGCAAAUGUACUCCCUGUACUACCACUACACCAGAAAACAUUUUUACUGGUGGGUAAAACCCCAUUGUGCUGGCGGUUUCCGCACCCGCCAUCAACUUUGAGCCAGCACAAAUGGCUCUUUGUGCUGGCGGGUGCUUGCCCGCCACCACAGUGCCUCUCUAUGCUGGCGGGUGCUUACAUCACCUGCGAGCAUAGUUAAUUUUUCGAUUAAAAAAAAGCAUGCGGUCGCCGCCGCCCGUAUGCUCCUGCCUGUCGCCGCUGCCCCUUCUGGUCCCGCAUCGCUGCCGCCGCCGCUGCUCCUGCUCCACCACCACCACCAGCCCGCCACCGUCUUCGAUGAGGCAGCCGUCGUCGAAGCUCCACAGUCCCAUCCCCUCGUCCACCGCGACGGUCGCCGAAGAUGAACACGUCGAACAGGGCGUUUGACUCGCUGGCAUGGCCCACUUUCCCCACAGGCGGUGGACUGUAUUGGGCGGCCUUGCGGCGCUUGCUCGACGCCGGCGCUCUACCACGAGAAGUUCGGGAGCGCGCCGGAGUUGGAGCUCUUGCUGGCCUCAUCCUCCUCGUCGGCCACCACGCCGCCAGCCACCGGCCCCGUGCGCCGCCUCGCCGCCAGAGGCCGGGCAUACCUGCGCACGCAGAGAGAAUACACCUAAGGUUAAACAGAAAAAAAAUCAAACACGGGGACGAGGAGGGUGGGAGACGAGCGGGAUUGUGGCAUGAGCGUAGGAUUUUGCCAUAGAGUGGCGUACUUCCAGAUUAGAGGGAUGAAGUGCGCGUAGAUGCCGGCCACAGAGAACUCCGAGCGGAUGAAGGCGGCGUCAAAGACGGAGCGGCGCAACGGCGUCGUCUUUGAUGCGGAGGCCGAGCCCCCACGCGUCGCCUCGCCGCCCGCACGUGGAGAGGCCGGGGCCUCGCCCACCACCGGAGGUCGAGCCCCUGCGCGCCGCCUUCGGCCCCGUGCGCCUCUGCUCCCCGCACCCACCCGUCGCCGCUGCGAGUGGCCGCCGCUGCCGCCGAGUGACACGGGGGAGAGAGUAUAUGAUUAGUUAAUUACUUUUUAACCAUUCUCAUUCAUGUAAGUUGGAAAAAGCAUUUCAGUGGCGGUGACAGAAGCAUCUGUUAGCACAAAUGACCUCUAUUUGUGCUAGCGGGCACUUGUGUCACAGCCAGCACAAAUGCAUUUGUGGUGGCGGGUUUUAACAUGCUAGCCUGGGGUUCUUUGUCGUGGUGGGUGUGGCGGGUGGUAAUUAGGCCCAUCAGCAAUAAAAAAUCUACGUGUCAACACAAAUCAUUUUUAGCGUAGUGCCACUGAUUUGUUUUAAUAUUUAAAUUAAAAGGGGUUGAGUUGCAAAGUAUAGCAGGUUAAAAAAAGCUGAAAUAGUUAAAUCUUUUUGCGCAAUAAUUGACCGAAACAUGACGGCUGCCACAGUCGCUUGGUGAACUGAUGUCGAGAAAAUAUCUGUAAAAGGGAAACUGCUGAGAAACUGAUGUCACGAAUUAUAGUCACACGAUGUGAUGAUAGAACUCAAGCAGAUCAGACAGCGAAAUCCAAUAAUGCACGUAGAGACAAUCGCGAAAGAAGGAAUAGUCAAGUCUUCGGCGACUCGACGGAAGCGCUGGGCCACCCUGCAGGCAUCCAGUAGGAAGCUGCAUCACUACAUUACACACAACAAGCAUCAAGUAAGAACGUGGAAGCUGCACAUCUAUAUCCAGCUGCGAGAUCACUAUCUCUCGUCCCAAGGCUUUUUACCAGUUCAAUUUGAACAUGAUACUAAAGAUAGCAUUAGUACCGCAUCCAAAUCUGAGAUCUCCCACAGGCCCUCUAGUACCCAUUGCUGGUUCCACACGAUACUAAAGGAUUUAGUACCGGGUAGAGCCAUCAACCGGUACUACAGGACCUUCUCAUUUUUUUUCACGUGCCCAUCUCCUCCUCCUUUUUUCCACACGCCGGACAUCUCCCUCCUCCUUAUCUACUCAAACACUUAUCCUCCAUGUGCAAACACCUCCUCUCCUCCUCCUCCUUCUCUCUCAAUCUCCUCCUCCUCCUCCUCCUCCUCCUCCUCCUCCGCUACUGCCUCCUCUCCCCUCCCCCCUCCGCUCACCCCUUACCGGUAGCGAGGAGCGGCGGCGGGGCGACAACGGAGGGAGCGGGAGAGGAGGGGGUGGAGGGAGCGGCGGAGGAGGGGACGGAGCGGUGGAGGAGGGGGCGGAGGAGGAGGAGGGAGGCCAAGGCUGGCGGGGAGGGGCGGCAGGGAUGGGGGGAGCUAGCUGGUGAUUUUCUUUUUUUCUUAAUUUUUCAACACCCUCUAAUACAGGUUAUCUCUACCCGUACUCGAGGAUCCCCCUCUAGUACCAGAUUGCUAGCUUCGGUUGCACAACCGGUACUAGAGGUGGGAUGGGAACCGGUACUAAGCCCCUUUUUCUUGUAAUGGAUCUUCACCUUCAGCUCAACGGGAGGAGUUCCAAUGAGGAGAUGCUCAUCGCGUUCCAGAACCACAAGGAGGGACACCGGCCGGCCAAUAUUAUAUCUGAAAUAUUAUCAAUUCAAGACAGAUAUAUUGGAAUUUCUAAGACUUGUUAGCACUAGUAGAGAAACCAGCAUUAGUUCCGGUUAGGAAACCUUAUAGAUCUUGGUUUCCCGAACGGGACUAAUUAUUCAGGACUAAAGGUCUUGACCUUUAAUACUGGAUCUUUCACUCAGGGCUAAAGGUACAUCUUUAGUCCUGAUUAGUAAUACCAAUAUUUACUAAAGGGUUUUGCGUGAAAAAAAUAUCUGGAAAAGGGAAACUGCUGACAAACAAUCGAGGGUUCUUAAGCGGCGCAUAUCUUUGUAGCUCGUACCAUCGAGUCCGAUGUUGGGAAGCUCACAGUGAUGAGGCAUGACAGACCACCUCAGACGCACGGAGCACGACACAAUUAUUCCGGUAGCCACACGCAACACAAUAAUAGACCCAGGCAUACUAGGGCAGUUCCAACACAUAUAGGUAGUAUCUAUACUCCCACGUAAGUACUGCAUCAUUCUAGAAAUUACACUCUACAACCUCUAAUUUUAAAGAGAAUUCAUAAUCUCUUCUCUCAACCAAUUAUAUUUGUUCCUUAUCAAUUAUGAAGACACCAUCUUCUCCUAAUGCAACAUUCGACAAUGUCUCGUGCAUAGGUUCUUGUAUUGACACUGGUCUUGCAUGAGAUCUAGUUUUCUGCUCUUCUCUCUCAUUUAAUGUAGUGCCAUAUAAAUUAAAAGUCCUAUGUAGCAAAAUAAAUAAUGCUAUGAAAAUCAGUCUAGUUGCAUGGUUGGGACUGCCCUUCGAUAAAGAAAGGCAACGGACACCGAAGAAGCUUUGGUGGAAACUAGUUGAGUCUUCGUGGACUAGACCCUACCGCACGCAGGGUCACCACCCACUGGUAGAGAAGUGAGCUUUAAUCCCGGUUGGUAGGGUGCUUUUAUCUCGAAAACGCAUCCGGGAUAAACCAUCCGGGACAAAAGGGGGGGGUCUUUUAUCCCGGGUCACUCAACCGGGACAAAAGACCCCCUUUUAUCCCGGUUGGUAACACCAACCGGGAUAAAAGGGUUGAGAGCGCCGACGCUGCAAAAAAAAAAAAUCCCGAGCUCCCAGGCAGGCCCCCCACACGCGCAAGUUACGCGAUUUUUCACGCGAAAUAUGCGCGUGCGCGGUUCGUGGGAUUCGAACCCACAACCUCCAGCCUCGCGCGUAGCUUCCUUACCAUCCCACCUACACACCACAUCUGACUAUGUAGGGGAUACUAUCCUUUUGUAUUAACUCGUGGGGGACCCUUUUAUCCCGGUUGGAAACACCAACCGGGAUAAAAGACCCCCUUUUAUCCCGGUUGGUGUUUCCAACCGGGAUAAAAGGGUCCCCCACGAUUUAAUUCCCUUCCAGUCACCUUCCAGUCACCUCGUGGGGGCCCUUUUAUCCCGGUUUGAAACACCAACCGGGAUAAAAGGGGGUCUUUUAUCCCGGUUGGUGUUUCCAACCGGGAUAAAAGGCUCUUGACCCUUUUAUCUCGGUUGGUGUUACCAACCGGGAUAAAAGGGGGGGUCUUUUAUCCCGGUUGGUGUUUCAAACCGGGAUAAAAGGCCUCUCAGAGUCUUUUUUUCCCAUUAGCCUUUGCAACCGGGAUAAAAGGUUCCGGUUGGUGAGCCUCCCACCAGUGACUGAGUUUUAGUCCCGGUUGGUGAACCUUUUAUCCCGGGCCAACUUUAAACCGGGACAAAAGGGGGUGGAUGGAAAGUCGUUUCUCUACUAGUGACCGAUGACGUCAGUCCAAUAUUACUGCAUUACAAGGAAGGUGAUAAUGCAAUAUAGAGUUCAUCAUCAUCAGCUAUCACUAUAAGAAACUAAUACAAUGUACUAGGGUGAAAAAAUAACCAAUAUACUCGGGUGAAAAAAUUAGACGGCGUUAAACUGUGCCAUACACAUAUAUAUUUAUAUUUACUAGUCCAUCGACCCUGCUUCCACACGAGCUAAUAUUUUUAAAAGCUAUUGUAUUUAAAAAUUAUUUAGAAAUUAAACUUCUAACUAAUAAUCAAAAUUAUUUAAUUACCGCUCUCUUAUUUUUUAAUACUUCAACAUAAUACUUAUAUAGAUAUGUACCUAUCUUUGUCCAGUUGUGAUGAUUUUUAAUUAAUGAUUAUUCUAUGCACUUUUCAUCCAUAUUCAUACUUUUUCCAUUUUGUGUCACGCCUCCAAUCCUCCAUACAUUAUGUUUAGCAUACAAAUCAAUAUUUUUCAUCGAAUCCUCACAUACUUGUAUAAAUGGUCUAAAUGGUGGCACUCAUCAUGUGUAUAUACUUUAACUUAGUAUUUUUAUAUUAACAAUGACAUAAAUAGGUAAUCAUAUAUAUUAGUUUACUUUUUGAUAUUUCUGUAUGAUGCACAUGAAGAUAAUUAGAUUAAAAUUUAGGUGUUUACUUUAGGUUAUUUUUAGUAACGACAUACGUGGGUAAUAUAGAUAAAAUUUUAGAAUGACAUUUUAAGUUAUGCUUUAUGAUGAUACGUAUUAGUAAAUUGGAUGAAUAUUAUAGGAUUACUUUAGAUUAUUUUUUAUAAUAGCUGAGCUCGAUAAUUUAGAUAUAGGUUUAGAGCUUAUUUUUGAAUAUUUUUACAAUGACAGUGGUGGGUAGCUUUUUAGAAAAUAUAAUAGAUCAAUGGCUAUGAUUAUUAGAGUUUACAGGAUUGGUGUUUGGUGUUUUUUAAUUUUUAUGAGAAUUUUUCUCUUUUUUUAAGCUUGUCUCGUGGGAACUAAUGCAGAGUCUCCAAUGGAAAAAAAUAAGACUACAUUGCUACAAAACUAUUACCAUAAGCUAACUCUCAUUUGUUAAAUAUUCAAAUACAAUACUUACGUAGAUAUAUACUUAAUAUCUUCAUCCAAUUGUGAUAGAUUUUAGUUAGUAAUUACUCUAUAAUAUUUUUAUCCAUAUUUAUAAUCUUUAACUUUUCACUUUGCAUCGCAGGUAUGCGCUUGAAUUUGUUUAAUGAACCCUAACUUUGAGAUAUAAUUUUAGCAUAGAAAUUUAUAUUCUCAUCACUUUAUAUCCUUAUAAAUGGUGACACACAUCAUACGUAAAGACCUUAAUUAUUAUAUCGUAUACCAAUAGUGUAAGAUAUAGACGAUUUAGAAUCAUAUAUUGUUAUAUACUUUUAAUUAAGGUUAUUUAAUUAAAACGUAGGGUUACCUCAUGUUAUUUUUAAUAAUGACAUGUAUGGGUAAUAUAGAUGCAAAUUUAAGGGGUUACUUUAGGUAAUAGUGGUAGGCAAUUCAGUUGCAAAUUAGGGGGUUAUUUUAAAUAUUGUUUAUAAUGGUAUAAGUGGGUAAUUUUUAUGAAGAUUAAGGGGUUACUUUAGUUUAUUUUAUAUAAUGGCAGAGGUGGGUAAUUUAUAUAUAGAUUUAGGGUUACUUUAGGCUAUUUUCAUAAUGGCAUAGGUGGGUAAUUUUUUUAAAAAUAUAAUAGAUCCAAUGGCUAUGAUGAUUUGAAUCUAUCAAUUGAUGGUCAGAUGUUUUGCUUUUUUGUGAGAAUUUCUAGAAUUUCUCUAUUUUUCUAGAGUGUCCACCUAGGAAUCAUUUUUAGGUGGCUUCACCUGGAGGCUUCAAAAGGAGCCUCCAAUUAGUAAUAGUAAGAUACUUAUAUUAUAUUUAGGGGGCCAAAGAAGUGCGCUUAGAACAACACGUCCCUCGUUCUUGCCCACCUUUUCAAUAUUUGAAGUGCGCUUAGAACAACACGUCCCUCUUUCUUGCCCACCUUUACACGACUUCUCAAUAUUUGAAGAAAAAACAGUUAGAAUAGACUUGUAGUUCCAUGAUAGAUGCUAUAACGGUACCAUGCUCAUCCUCUUCGACCUUCCUACACAGGCCCACUUUGGCAGGCCUCCAGCUCCUUCUAAAAUGGGAUGGAACCAAGGAUCCACUUUCUCUUGGCUCCGAUUUCUCAAUAUAAACGGCUCCGGCUCCUCUAUUACUCUAGGUGUGGAGCUAUUUUUUGGCAACCCUGUUUUGUAGGACUGCAGCACGAGCCAAAGGAGAAGUCGGAGCACUACCAAAGAGGCUCACAGUUGAGAGCCGAAGACAGACAAAUGAGCAGUAAGCAGUUUCUGCAACAAAGUUGUGGAGCCUGACAUAUAUGCAUUAUACGCAAAUCCAAACUGAAAUGAUAUUUGAACUGCAUAUUCUACUAUAGUAAAAUAGUUAAAGUCGGAAAAUUUGGUGUACCCGCAUCUUUCAUAUCUCCAUCAUCAGCACCUGGUUGUGGAAAGUCGGAAAGGAAAAUAAGACAAGGGACAAAAAUCUAAGUUUAAAGUAAGCCACUACAUUCUUCAUAUCUUCAACUUGAAGAGCACAUAAUUAAUGAUCGCUAAUCGCCAUUUGCAUCCCACGCUAUGAAUAUGGAAUUGCAAUCCUAAAGGCUCGCAAGCCGCCUCAUCUCAGAAACAUGCUUUCGCUAUAUUUAAAUACUACCAUCUUCUUCCUAGCGGAAUGAAUUUUAUGAUGGGAACCUGUCAAUUCGACAGCUCGGGAGAGCGAUUACUAGUCGGAAGGAGCAAUGAAAAACUGAAUUUAAGCCCACCAACGUGUCAUUCGCUGGACCAAACUAGAGGACGUUAGUGUUAUCUCCGCUCGUGCCGGUUGGGAUAGGACUUCGAGGCGACAGGCGAGGCGAUGGACAACAUGGACACGAUGUGCUGAUAGAACUCAAGCAGAUCAGACCGCGAAAUCCAAUAAUGCACGUAGAAACAAUCGCGGAAGAAGGAAUAGUCAAGUCUUCGGCGACUCGACGGUAGCGACGGGCCAUCUGCAGGCAUCCAGUAGGAAGCUGCAUCACUACAUUACACACAACAAGCAUCCAGUAAGAACGUGGAAGCUGCACAUCAUAUCCAGCCGCGAGAUCUUCACCUUCAGCUCAACGGGAGGAGUUCAAAUGAGGAGAUGCGCGUCGCGCUCCAGCGCCAUGGGAAGGGACACCGGCCGGCCCAACGUUAUAUCUGAAAUAUUAUCAAUUCAAGACGGAUGUAUUGGAAUUUCUAAGACUUGUUAGCACUAGUAAAGAAACAAGCAUUAGUCCUGAUUAGAAAACCUCAUAUAUCACGGUUUUUCGAACGGGACUAAUUAUUCGGGACUAAAGCUCCCGACCUUUAAUAUUGGAUCUUUCACUUAGGGCUAAACGCAUAUCUUUAGUCCCGGUUGGUAAUACCAACAUGGACUAAAGAGUUUGCGCAAAAAAAUAUCUGUAAAAAGGAAACUGCUGAGAAACAUCCGCGUAUUCUUAAGCGGCGUUAUAUGUUUGUAGCUUGUACCAUCGGGCUUGGAGGUUGGGAAGCUCACAGCGAUGGGCCACGACAGGCCACCUCAGACGCAAGGAGCACGACACAAUUCUUCCGGUAGCCACACUAAUCACAGUCACGCAACGCAUUAAUAGUCCCCGGCAUGCUAGGGCAGUCCCAACAUAUAGUGUCUUCAGAUAGUGUCUAUACUUCCACGUAACUAAAAUAUCAUUUUAGAAAUUACACUCUACAACCCGUGAUUUCAAAGAAUGUGUCUUUAAUGAAUUCAUCAUCUCUCCUCUCAACCAAUCAUAUUUAUUCCUCAUCAAUUAUGAAGAUACCAUGUUCUCCCAAUACAAUAUUCGCCAAUAUCUCAUGCAUAGGUUAUUGUAUUGACACUGGUCUUGCAUGAGAUCCAAUUUUUUGCUCUUCCCAUUCUCUCUCAUUUAAUGUAGUGCCACGUAAACUAAAAGUCCUAUGUAACAAAAUAAUUAAUGUUAUGAAAACCAUUCUAGUUGCAGGGUUGGGACAGCCGUUAGUUAAAGAAAGGCAACGGACACCGAAGAAGCUUUGGUGGAAAGUAUUCGAGUCUUCGCGGACUGGACGCUAGCGCAGGGUCACCACCAAUGACGUCAGCCCAAUAUUACUGCAUUGCAAGGAAGGCCAUAAUGCAAUAUAUAGUUCAUCAUCAUCAGCUAUCACUAUUAGAAACUAAUACAAUGUACUAGGGCAAAAAAAAAAUUGCCAAUAUACUAGGGUGAAAAAAAUAGACGGCAAAAGCCGUUAAACUGUGCCAUACACAUCAUUCCAUCUAACAAUUUUUCCACAUAUAUAUUUAUAUUUAGGGGCCCAAAAAAGUGUGCUUAGAACAACACGCCCCUCGUUCUUGCCCACCUUUUCUACUACAAGACUUCCAAAUAUUUUUAGGAAAAACAGUUAGCAUAGACUUGUAGUUCCAUGAUACAUGCUAUAACGGUACCAUGCUCAUUCUCUUGGAUCUUCCAACAUAGGCCCCCUUUAGCAGGCCUUCAGCUCCUUCUAAAAUGGGAAGUAGCCGGAGGAGUCACUUUUCCUUAGCUCCGAUUUCUCAAUACAAACCGCUCCGGCUCCUCUAUUGCUCCAGGUGUGGAGAUAUUUUUGGCAUCCCCAUUUUUUAGGGCUUCAUCACGAGCCAUAGGAGAAGCCAGAGCACCAACAAGGGGCUCACAGUUUAGUUUAGAGCUGAAGACACACCAAUGAGCAGAAAGCAGACAUGGUAGUUUCUGCAACAAAGUUGUGGAGCCUGACAUAUAUGCAUUAUACGAAAAACCAAACUGAGAUGAUAUUUGAACUGUAUAUUCUACUAUAGUAAAAUAGUUAAAGUUGGAAAAUUUGGCGCACGCGCAUCUUUCAUGUCUCCAUCAUCAGCACCUGGUUGUGGAAAGUUGAAAAGGAAAAUAAGACAAGGGACACUACUGGAGAACUAACCUUCUAUCCAAGUGCUUUUGUCCCGGUUAACUUUGGUCCCGGGUCAAAAAUGUGCUGUUGAAGGACACCGCCCAGGGGGGGCGUGGGGGGCGCUUGCAACGACUAUAAAAAAUCGUACCGAUACUCCCCCUUUUGUCCCAUUUGGAAAUUCCAACCGGGACAAAAGAGCCCCGCUCCACUUUUAUCCCGGUUGGUAAUUCCAACCGGGACAAAGGUAUAGUCCCGGUUGGAAUUUCCAACCGGGACAAUAGGGGGGUCAUGCUGCUCAAAUUUUUUCCUCUUUUCUGUGGGGAUUUAGUCAUUGUUGUGAAGGUUAGCUACUUCAUCUUGAAUUUAUUAUUAUUAUACUUUAUUUUAUGCUUUAGAGAGGGAGCAAAAUGAGUUUUAUAGAAUCAGGGAGAAUGGAGAGGAUUUUUAUUUAUACAUAUUUUUGAGAUAGAAUUUGAUGGAUAGCUUGCUUUUUAUAUAUGAUUCGUAUUAGUUAAAAGAACUUGAUCAAUAUUAGGUGUUGCAAAAAAAUAGAGUAAAUGUGUUUUUAAUAUUUAGUCAUUGCAAUAAAAUUAAGGUAAAUAAAUUGUAGGUGUAUGAAAUUGAAUUUGAUCAUUGCUACAAUUUUUCAUGUCACUGUAAUUUAAUAAUAAUUGAAUUUCUUCGACUAGUAUUUAUCUCAUGUUUAAGGCAAGAACUAAAUAGUAUAAACACACUUACUUUAUUUUUUCCCUGCCUAAUAUUGAUCAAGUUCUUAAUGUAAUAUGAAGCCCUAUGUUCAUUUUCCACGUAAUACGAUGCAGAUGGACCGGCAUUGGUUGUACCACCUCUGUUCCUCUAAUCCUAGAGAACAGUGUUUGCACAUGGCAGAAUGUGCUUACACUAUUCCCUGCACAUAACCUAACUUCCUACAAAGUCUAUGGAAAGUCACCUUCACUCCUCCAGUACUAGAAAAUAAUGGUGCAAUAGAAGAACUUCUAGUCCACAAACUCGUGCUAAAUAUGAGUAAUGAAUUUUGAAAUAGUAUUCCAAAUAUUUUUUGGAGCCUAAUUCUUAUAAUAGAAGUAUGCUGGCCCAAUAUCCUCUUCAGGCAAAGAUCUGUUCACUGACCUUGACCUAGCGGCUUUUGCUUGGUUUUGGCUUACCACCAUGGGCCAUGCUUAGCGAACACAUAUUUUGCCUGGACAUGCUAUUAUGUGUGUGCCACUAUAUAUACUUCUAUUAUGAGAAUGUAGCACUUGCUACAACAGAUAUUUGGACAAUUAUUUCAAGAUUCCUUUAUGAUAUUCAGCCUAAGUAUGUGAACUCAAAGAUCUUCUGUUGUACCGAUGCUUUGAAACAUACGAGAAUGAUUCCAAAUCAUAGUCCGGUUUUGUGUUCUGCCUCAAUGGAAGAGCAGUAAGCUAGAAAAGUUCUAAGCAAGAUAUAUUAGAUGAUUCAACGAUGAAGGUGGAGUAUAUUGCAGCUUCAGAAGCUGCAAAGGAAUCUAUUUGGAUCAGAAAAUUUGUUUCAGAGUUGGGUGUUGUCGCUAGUGUGUCAAGUCUAGUGGAUUUCUAUUGCGAUAAUAGUAGAGCCAUUGCACAAGCAAUGAAGCCUAUAUCACACCAAAAGUCCAAACAUAUGCUACAACGCUAUCACCUCAUCCGCAAGAUCAUUGAUCGAGGUGACGUGAGGAUUUGCAAGGUGCACACGGAUUUGAAUGUUGCUGAUCCGUUGAGGAAGCCUCUUCCACAACCAAACCAUGAGGCGCACACCAGAUCGAUGAGUAUUAGAUACUUACAUCAAUGAUCCUAGUGUAUGUGGAAGACUUGUGUCCUGACUAUGUUUAUGUACUAUUGAAUAAAGUAUUAUUUGUUACUUGAGUAACUAUCAUUUACACUGAUUACCAAGUAUGUGACUUGUUCGUGGAACUCUUCAUUGAUUAUCAUGUUAUUAUAAAUGAUCCCUAGUCUAUAUCAUUAUAUGGGACAAUAAUGACAUACAGACUAGCACAUGUAUUAAUUGAUGAUCAUCUUUCUUGGAUUAGAUUAACAAUAUUAACAUAUGUUAGUGAACAUGGUGUUGGAUUGACCCACCUCGAGACACUGCUAAGAUUGUUAUUUUAUAUGCAUCAUCAAGUAGAAAAUGAAACUUAUGCUGAUUAGAUAAAAGGUGCGAUAAAAUUAUGGUUAGUGCAUUCUCAACACCAUAUAAAGUUUACCAUGAAGUAAUCAAACUGAACAAAUUAGUUACUACUAUCUCAAUCUAAUAGCAAUCAUAUCAAUAUAUGUACCACUGCUUACACCAACCUGUGCAUCCGCAUGCUACCUAACACUGGACGACUCUGCAUUGAUUGCGGGGAUGGAGAAGGUCCGCGGAGCAAGUCGUGCUAUUAUCAGGGCCAGUUUGGUAGGGUUCCAGCUCCAGCUUCUCCUGCGACUCUAGCUGAAACCCUACCAAAUAGUUUGAUAAAAACGGCUCCACCCCUGAAGCACUAGAGGAGCCGGAGCCGUUUUAUAUGGAGAAGCCGGAGAAAAAAAAAUGACUCCUCUAACUCCAGCUCCUUUUAGAAGGUGAGCCCUACCAAACUAGCCCAAGUCAAGUCUUCCCCAAAUGCAUCCAACUGUGAUGACCACUCAGGCUGCCAUGAUUACCCAUUGCCGUUAACUUCCUAUCUACUUCCUCGAUCAGAACACCACCAAUGCCGUCGUCUCCAUCCGGCCACCGCCAUGGCCGUGGCCUGCUCCUCCUUGCCAUGGUGGCGAGCCUCUCUACCUUCGUAAUGUCCAUGGACAGCCGGUUCACGUUGGUCGACUGCCAAACAUCGGCGGCGCCAUCUCCUGCUCCCUCGCUGCCGCCGGCGUCCUCCUCCUCCACCACCACCACCAACAGCACGUUCUGGUCGAACGUCGUGGCGCUACUGGAAGCGCUACCGUCUGCCGCAGCGCCGACGGGCUUCGCCUCCCUGUCUCGCGGCAACGGCACCAACCGCGCCUUCGUCCGAGGCAUCUGCCGCGGCGACUCCGCCGGUGCCGAUUGCGCCAGGUACCUCCGGAGCGCCGGCGUGGGCAUCCGGAGCCGGUGCAACCAGAACAGCCGCCGCGCCGCCAUCUGGUACGACGACGGCUCCACCGUGACAUAUCCGGCGCCGAUGUUCUGCUUCGUCAGCUUUGCCGACACCAACACGUCCACGCCCUACGAGCGGAAGUACUGCAAUGAAAUGUAUAACACGGGGGUGGCCCGUGACAAGGUCGGCUUUUUUUUUAAUGGAAGUGACGAGAUUGCCUUCGAGAACACAUACUACACGCUCAUGACGCGGCUCGCCGCGCGCGUCGUCAACGGCUCCGGCGACACCCCGCCGUCCUCCUUGCCGGAGGCGCCGAAGUUCGCGACGGGGGAGGCCGUGUAUGACCCCGGCAUCCCCAACGGAACCAUGUACGGGCUGAUGCAGUGCAUGAGGGAUCUGACGGCGGCGGAGUGCCAAAAGUGCUUGCAGGACUCGGUGCCACGGCUGCCUAGCUGCUGCUUCGGUAACCUGGGUGGGGUGGUGCGUGGCUACAACUGCUACAUUCGCAUGGAGAUAUACACCUACUAUGAUCUCAAGCUUGAUCCACCGCCCCCUCCAGCGCAAGCUCCGUCCAACUUCAUCGGACAAAGUGCGGGUGAGCUUCUCAAUCACUACAUAUUUUCGUUCUUUUUUAGAUAUAUGAUGUCGUUUAGCAUGAGCUAAUUAGUUCAAUUUAACUAACGGGUUUAUAAAUAAUGUUCUAAAUGUCACAUAUUUGGAAACGGAAACAAGUUUACAUGUUGCAUUUUAAAUGGAUACAAUCUCUAUACUUCAAAUUUAGUAUAUUAAUUUAGAACAAUACUAGAUAUCCAUUGACAGAUUUAGAGUCGGCAACCCUAUCUUCUGAGACGAAGUUUGGGUUUUCGAUUCUAGGUUUAGAGAUGGGGAGAUUUAUGGCUGGAGGCAGAGCGGGGCAACCGCGAAAAAAAAAUCAUUGAACAAGAAAGAGGAUGCACGGAGAAGGAUGGCGAUUCAAGGCAGAUCCGUAGACAUCAGUAAUGAUGAAGGAAGAUUGUCUGCCCUUACUGGCAGGGAAACAUAACAGUAAUGAUGAAGGAAGAUUGUCUGCCCUUACUGGCAGGGAAACAUAACAGGCGGCGUCAUGGUGCUCAGGGUAGCCGAAUGGAUCAUGAUGUGCCCGCAAACACUAACGUAGCGAAGGGACAAAGUAUAGGCCGUUGGAUCUUAAUUCUAGGGUCCAAAAAAUGAUAGAUUAUUACUCCGUAAUCUUUUAACUGUUGUGUAGACAUAUCAUAUAUUAUUCUGUUCGUUGACUGAAAGCAAUUAAAAUUUCGGUCACCUCUAUGCAAAUAUAACCAAUAAUGCAUCAACUCGGUCUGCAGCAGUGUCCCAUCGUGAAAGCACUGUAGGGCAGUACAGGGGGUGUACGACAAUUUGACGGCAAUCUAGAAGCAGACGUGACACGAGUACCAAAAAAAAAAAGACUAAAUUAAGGCCUUGUUUAGUUGGCCAAAUUGGGAGGUGCCAAAUUACUGUGCUGGCACUGUAGCACACUGUAGCGUUUCAUUUGUAUUUGUGAAUUAUUGUCCAAACAUUGACUAAUUAGGCUCAAAAGAUUCGUCUCGCAAAGUACAACAAAACUGUGCAAUUAGUUUUUAAUUUCAUCUACAUUUAGUACUCCAUGCAUGUACCGCAAGUUUGAUGUGAUGGGGAAUCUUCUUUUUGCAUAGUGCUAAAGUUGGGAGUUGGGGUUGAAGUAAACAAGGGCUAAAGCAAGCACGACCUGACCGACACUACAGUGGUAAUACCUCACUCAAAUGCAGGAAAAAAGGGCCUUGGUUCGACUCUCGCCGCGGCCCUCCCUAGUGGUGGAACGGUCCUUAUUGCACUCGUCAUCCUUGGUGUUUUCUUAUACACAAGAAAUGCCAAUUGGAAGAGAACGCAAGGUACGCGUACGCCUAAAACCUCAGUUGAUAUUUGUUUCUGGCUGUGUCCAUUUUACUAGGUGCAGCAGAGUUCAGUUACAGCAACCGAGCAGUCCCACAAUAUUCCAUCACUAAUAAGAUAGUAUUAGAACUGUCCUAAUAAUAUAAUUUUUAGGAUUAUUGAAGCAGGUUCCCAAUAUAAUCGUCUUUUUAACACUAUUUCGCUAUGUACUUGCACAUAAAAGUUACAAAUACGCUAUGUUCAUGUCCGAAUAAUUAGCGAUGUUUUUAUCACACACGAUUCGUCUAAGUUUCAAAUGCAGAAAUUCAAACAUAAAUAUGGUCCAAAUGCAUCAAAUAAAUAGUCCAAAGUAAAUAUGAAUAAAGGAAACAUAGAGCAUCACACACUACCAUGGAGCUGCCACAAAUGCUUAAUAAGGUUAUCAUGAAGUCAUUCAUGUGCCGCGGGAUCAAAAACACUCGGCGGAUCAAAAACACUCGGUAAAAAAAAACACACAACAAUCAACGGGUUCACCGAGUGUAUACAUAAAAACACUCGGCAAACAAGGGUUCGCCGAGUGUUUUUUCUCCCACACUCGGCGAACCCGUGUUCCCGCAACCGCACCGUCCCCCCGGCCCCACGCCCUGCCCCCCGCCACCCACACCGUCCCCCUCCCCCCACACGCCCCGGCCCUUCACCUCCCCCCCACAGCACACCCAGCACCACGCCCCUCCCCUCCCUCCCGCACUCACGCCCCUCCCGCACGCGAGCUGGGAGCCCCCUCGCCUCCCUCUCCUCCAGCGCGGGGGGCGCCGCCUCACCUCCCUCUCCUCUAGCGCGGGGGGCCACCCUCCCCUCUCUCUCCUCCUUUGGCGGCGCGAGUCCCCUCCCUCUCCUCCGGCGGGCGACGGCGCUUGCCCCGUCUCCCAGCCGGAUUUGGCCGCUGCCCCCUCUAUCCUGGCUGGAUCUGGCCGCCGCCCCCUCCAUCCCGACCGGAUCUGGCCGCCGCCCCUGCCUCCCGGCCUGAUCUGCCACGCCGCCCCUCCUCCGAGCCGGAUCCGGCGGAGGCCGUGGUGGGCGGGGGCGGGCGUGGCGGCCGGGUGGUGUGGUGGUGCUGUGGUGGUGCGGUGGUGGUGUUGUGGUGGUGGUGCUGGUGGCGUGGGUGGUGGUGGUGCGGCAGCCAUGGGUGGGUGACGGCGGCCGUGGGUGCGUGACGGCGGCCGUUUUUUUUAGUUUUUUCAAAAAAAGUACGCCGAGUGUUUUUUGGGCACUCGACAUCUUUUUGCCGGGUGCCCGACAAAAAACACUCGGCAAACUAGUGUUUGCCGACAUUUUUUUUGUCGUGUGCCCUUUGCCGAGUGUUACACUUGGCAAAGGGUUCGCCGAGUGUUUUAGGGGCUUCGCCGUGUGCCCUAGGCACACGGCAAACCUUCCGUUUCCGGUAGUGAUAGUUCCAUUGCACCAUGAGGGAUUUCCAAAUUCGGUCUUCAUCCUUCUAAGGCUUGACCAGCACCAGAUAUGUGCCCUUAGAUCAAAGCUAAACACAUUCUCAACCCAGCAUCUCCCUAACCGGUCGGAACGGGCCAUCAGCACCAGUGCUAUUUUGACCGGCAGAGCAUAAAAACUUUUAUGUGUAGUGCUAGCUGUACAUGCAGGCAUGGUCGGAUGGCCCCACAAAAUUUGCUGCUUGGUAUGGAGGGUUAUUUUUUCCAUGAGCUUUACUUAUUACAAAAAAAGGAGCUAACAUGAUUCUACUUAAUAAUAAUGCCAGUCUUUUGCAUACUAUUUUUGUGACAGACAACAGUAGCAAAGAAGAGGACAGCGGAUAUGUUGAGCCGGAGCAACUUAAUCUAGCGGUGUUAAGAGAUGCAACUGACAAUUUCUCGAAAGAAAACAAGCUUGGAGAGGGAGGUUUUGGAGAAGUGUUCAAGGUACAUUUUCAGCUAUAUGUAUAGGCACACAAAUGAGAAGUAGUAUAAUAUACUAGGUACAGUCAUCGUGACAGAACUAGUAUCGUGAAUUGCAGUGUAGUGGUCACGAAAAUUUAAGAAUAGGUAUUUUCUUUUGCGCAGGGUACAUUACAAGAUGGGGCAGAGAUAGCUGUGAAGAGGCUUUCACGGAACUCCUCACAGGGAUUCCAAGAGCUUAAGAACGAGCUUGUUCUGGCUGCCAAGCUUGAGCACAGGAACCUAGUGCGGCUCUUGGGUGUGUCCCUCCAAAAGGAGAAGCUUCUUGUCUACGAGUACAUGCCCAACAGAAGCCUAGAUACCUUUCUUCUCGGUAUCCAUCAAACAACUGUUCCUAAGCAAAUAAGAGAACUCACAUGGAUUAUCGUCUAUAUUUAUGUCCUUUUUUUGUAUGUUGUGCAGAUCCUGUGAGACGACACCAACUAGAUUGGAGUAAGAGGUUUACAAUCAUCUGCGGCAUCGCACGGGGACUUCUCUAUCUCCACGAGGAGUCUCGCCUGAAGGUCAUCCACAGAGAUCUAAAGCCGAGCAACGUAUUGCUUGAUGCGGAUAUGAACCCCAAAAUUUCAGACUUUGGCAUUGCCAGGGCUUUUGGCGGUGACCAAUCUAGAGAUAUAACAAGACGACCCGUUGGUACCCUGUAAGCACCCAGGGCUGAGCACUGCAUCAAUAAUAGUCAAUCCAUACCGUAGAUCAAUUAUUACCAGUGACUCCUGGUUGCACAUUGUGGAUGCAUGCAGUGGGUACAUGUCUCCAGAGUAUGCCUACUGGGGGCAUGUCUCGACCAAGUCAGACAUGUUCAGCUUCGGUGUCAUAGUCUUGGAGAUGGUGACCGGGCGAAGGAACAACAGCGCAUACGACUCUGCUGUAGACUCCGUGUCUGUGCUGAGCCAUGUAAGUGCGCACUAUUUCUUGGGUAAUAAUGUCCCAUCGCGGGUGGAAAAACGAUCUUCCAUCCUCAACAAAAAUCUCGGUGAUUUUUGAUUUGGGAAAAAUUUUAGUCCCAGGUCUAAAUUUCGUAGUACGUGGAGACACCUUUAGUCCCGAUCGAACUAUGGAUUUCCUCCCCUACUCAGUUAGAUGUGUUGUGUAGGUGAGAUGAUAAAAAACCUGUGGAGCCUUCUGAAAAUUUAGAAUAUUUUUUGGACCAAAUGAUUAGUUCCGGUUGGAAAAACUGAGAUCUAUGAGAUUUUCUAACCGGGACUGAUACUCCUUUCUCUACCGGUGCGCAUGUAACAUAUGCUUCACGUAAUGGACAUCGAUCGAUUGUGUGUACAGGUAUGGGACAACUGGAGGGCUGGUUUGAUGACGGAUGUGGUGGACCCAUUGCUGACCGAGUGGGGGUACCCGGAAAGCGAGGUCCUCAACUGCAUAGAGAUUGGGCUUCUAUGCGUCCAGGAGAACCCGGUGGACCGACCAGACGCCUCCGCGGUGGUGCUUAUGCUUAGCAGCCCUACCUCCAUGUCUGAUGACAGGCCAGCCCCAUCAAGGCCGGCCUUCGUCUUCAGCUGUGGCUUCACCACAGAAUCAGAUCGCCCAAGAUCCGGUGCCUGGAGCUCCGAUGGUGUGCUGCUAAUAGGCAAUAAUAAACAGCCGUCGACGACCACGGUUUCAGAGAACGAAGUGUCGAUCUCAGAGCUUCAACCGAGGUAGAUGUGUGUAGCACAGAGUGCGGAGCACAAGCUGCUAGCUGGGCGUGGUUCAGCCUAUGAUUAAUCUCGUGUGUCUUAAAGCAUUAUAUUGCAUAUGGUAAAGAAAAAUUCGGAAAACAGAAUAAGGUUUACGCCUGAGAGAUUCUUGCUGCCUAUUAAGGUGAUAUGAUCCAACUCAUUUGAUCGAAAAAGACUAUAUUGAUCAUGGUGGUCUCUGUUAAUUACCUCGUUACUAUUGUAUAGCACUGUUCGAACUGUUCCAUGUCGUUACUUGCAGCACACACACCAAUUUGAUUUCUUCAGGAAUCCUUUGAUUCUAAGAAGAGUCCAUAACAAGUUUCCGUCUUGGAUCAACAUUCUGAACUAGAAUACACCUUCAUCUAGCUAAGGACAUGUUUGUUUGAAAUUUUAGGCAGCUUUUCAGCGUGAAAAGAUAGAAGGUCAAACAAACAACCAACUUCUCGUUCAGAAAACUUAAGUUUAUAUGGAAAGCUGAAAAAUUCAGUUUUCUAAGCUUUAGAUAGCUUCACUAAUAGAGAAAUUGCCUCUAGUACCUGUCCGUAACCCCCUCUAAUACAGGUUGUGCAACCAGUAGUGGCAAUUCGGUACUAGAGGGGGGUCCUUUACCGGUUAUUUUAAUCGGACCCUUUAGUACCGGUAGCGGAUACCAACCGGUAGUAAAGGGCCUGCCACACUAUGUGUGGGAGCGGCCUACUUAGUACCCGUUGGUCUCCCUAACCGAUACUAAUUUGUUAUUUCCUUUCUUUUCUUAUUUUCUAUUUCUUUAUUUUAUAUUUAUAUUCCGUAUUUGUUUUCAUUACCUAUACUAGUUCUAAUAUGCUAAUGUAUGUAAAGUUCUAUUUAUCUUUAAUAUUACCUUUGAGAUACUAUUAUAUAUAUAUAUAUACAUAUUAUGCAUACACAUAUCGUAUCUACUAUUCUGAACUCGACUCCUGACUGUGCUGUAGAUUUGAUCCGUCAUUAUGAAACUCCCCCACAGAAUUUACAAUCUCGUCCAGAAGAGAUCCACAUAGUUGUUCUUGUAUUGCCCUGAAAACUUUCGUGUCGAAGAGUUUAUCCUUCCUGUAUAUCAUCUAUGUCAUCAGCAAAGUUUAUUAUAUAUAUAGUAGACCAAUGGAUUUGCACAAUUGAAACUUUUUUGAAGUAUAAGCAAAUAAAUUGAAAUGCUUAAUCUAAUUUUUCUAAGUAUAUACAUAUGAAUUGCUUUUUGAAGUAUAAGCAUAUGAAUUGAAAUACUUAAUCUAAUUUUUCUAAGUAUAUACACAUGAAUUGCUUUUUGAAGUAUAGGCAAAUCAAUUGAAAUACUUAAUCUAAUUUUUCUAAGUAUAUACACAUGAAUUGGUUUUGAAGUAUAGGCAAAUCAAUUGAAAUACUUAAUCUAAUUUUUUAAGUAUAUACACAUGAAUUGGUUUUUGAAGUACAAGCAUAUGAAUUGAAAUAUUUAAUCUAAUUUUUUAAGUAUAUACACAUGAAUUGGUUUUGAAGUAAAGCAAAUGAAUUGAUUUUUGAAGUAUAUACACAUAAACUAAUUUAUUAUCGGGUAGUUCAUGGUCGGUUAAACGGUUCGGAAGCAUAAAGGCGUGGAUGAACUCAUGUACGUAGUAUCUGCAUAAAUUAGUACCCAGCUCCUAUCUCGAAGACUAUAUAUAUAAAAAAAAGUUAUAAAAUAUUUGUUGUGUUAAAUGAAGUGUCACGAGAUGUGAAAAUUCAACACAUAUCGGGAAUUCAAUCUUCCAUUCAAGUUCCUCCUUGAAUUCAGAAAAUCUAGAUAAUUUAUUUAAACCAUGAAAAAUACUUUGAAAAUCCCAAAAAUCCAUGAAAAUUCCUAGAGACAAUUUGGGACAUGAGGAAUCCAAAGAAAAUAUUUGGAGCUCAUGAAAAGUAUUAUAGAACAAUCCAAAAAUUGGAUUUAGCACUUAGAAAAUGAGAAUAAAUUCCAGAAAAAAACUGGAAAAUUCUUAGAAGGACUUGGACACGUAUAAACACAUUUUUAAACUUUUUCACUCAUGAAACACCAAGAUGCAUCGGCAUGAGUGCACAGACAUGGAACAACAUUAUUUAAUUCUGAAAAGCAAACAAUUAUUUUUCCUAUACUAAAUUUCUUGUGAAGAAAGAUAAAUGUUGGGAAAAUUUUUAAAAUUAUGAGAAAAUUAUUGUUUAAUUAUUAUUUGUCAAUCAUAUCCUGAAAUUCAAAAAUUUCUGGAUAUGUCGUCACAUCAUCAUCAUCAACAUGUGUUGACGUGGCUGCAGCAUCAUCAGCGCUAAUGUAACCAUCAUCAGCGCUAAUGUAACCAUCAUCCGUAGCAAUAUAUACCCGUUGGCUGGGGGCAAUCCUUCGUGACAUGGCCAAAUCCAUGGCAGCAACCCGAGAAAUUAAACAUCAAAUCUGACUUUGUUUUGCACAUUCUCGCACGAGUAUCCAAAGUUCCAAACAGGUUUACGCAUUUCGUUCCAGUGAGAUUUUGAAGAAAUCCUAACUCAUCAACUACUAAAUGAUGGUGUUCAUGACUUGCCCACCCAUCUAACGUGGAUGAUAUGUGACCGUGUAGUAUAAUCUAUAGUGUAAUUGUACCUACAUUCCUUAUUAUGCCACCAGACACCACCGAGGAGGUUUAUUUAUUUAUUAAUAUAGAGGUAGGGAUGCAUGUUCAAUUUGUUUUGGUCCAUUGGAUUGACCUAAAUUUUGCUAAAAUGGACUACAAUGGCAAUGUCACUUAAUUAAUUUAUAGGAGAGAGAAAUAAAUAAAAAUGUCAUGUUAACGUAAUUAAUUAGCUCAACUAGAAAAUACAUUGGGUAACCACUUGCAUCCUUAUAUAUGGAGGAGAGGAACCUCCCUCUACAUUACCUAGAAAAAAGAAAGAACAUAUCACUACUAGAGAACUGGGUAUUACUACCGGUUCGUAGGGUGCAUAUCUCCCAAAAAUGCAUCCGGCAUUAACCCGUCGAUACAAACCGGGACUAACGGGGCUGCCAUGACAGACCCCUUUAGUCUGGGACUAAAUGUCUCCUCUUUAGUCCCGGUUUGUAAAACAAACCAGAACGAAAGUGCGUGUAUACAGUGCCAUGCACGCGCCUAUAUAUAUUUGAAUUCCAGCCAGAGGCAUUUCUCGCCUUCGGCGUAUAAAUCUAUUUGUUUUACCUUAAGGGCGAACAUGGAAGUCUAGUCGGCGGACGUCUUCAUGUACCAUUCAUGGAAUUCGUACAUCUUCGGUUGAAAUGGCUUUGAAGCUGCUGGCUCGUGACCACCUAGCUCUAUAGAUUGAUCAAGUUCCACUCCAAAUUCUUCCAUGAAUUGCAAUACUUGAUCUUGUUGAGACUUGGGCAUUGCUGCUAUCCUUCUAGCAUCUCCUUCUGGUAGAUGAUGAAGGCGGCGAUCAACAACACUUGAAGAUGACUUUCCUUUUCUUUUUUCCCUAUAUUCAUCACCUUCUUAUUUGAAUGUGACAUCUUUUAAAAAAAUUGUAAUUUAGUUGGAUCAAUUGUUGGUUGUGGCUCCAUCUCCCUUGCUUUUUUUGUUCAGCCCUUUUCCUGAACAAAUCCUUGCAUUCUGCUUGGAUUUCGGACCAGCUUUCCUCUUGAGUCAUUGCAUUACAGCGUUCCUUAGGAGUCAAUUCAGGCUCCUUAUUUGUUUUCCUCUUUUUAUGUGCUAACUUGGGAGCCGUUGGUCGCAACUUCAUAAUCGGGUCUCCAGCAGGUUCGUUUCUCGGGGCUGCAGGUACCUUGCUCGGGACUUCUCUUAUUCCCGACAUCGUCGGUGAGCAGGAAGGAGUGCUGUUGUUGUCGUCGUUGUUGCUAGCUGGAUGUGGAGAUGGAGACUUUGCUCGAGCAUGCAUCGACGACGGUCCUGGUGCUGAAGGUCCUGGUGGUGAUGGUCCAGGUGAUGAUGGUCUUGGAAUUGACCGUGGUGGAGAAGUCGGUCUUGCCAUUUGAGAUGAUGGUUGCGGCUCGGGUUCUUUUGGGAAGGGUGCUGCCUCCAUGCCCGGGAUGAUGAUGUAGCAUUUGCACUAGAAUGACGCCUCCUUGAACCGCAUCUCCUAAUGUCCUUUCCCCAACGCCUCCCGGGAGUUGGAGCUCAUAGCCCUCAUAUUGCCGAUGAACGAGCUGCUCUACCGAGACACUAGCAUAGCCUGGUGGAAUCUCCAUGCCAUGGCUCGCCUGCGUUGCCCAGCUUGGUAAGGCACUCUUGUACGCUACCUAUACAUAUAGCAGAAAUAAAGAUGUUGAGGCAUGGUGGAUCGAUGGAUUGAGAAGAUUAUUGCAUAAAUAUUAAUUAUGUAUAAGAGUAUACCUUAACAGUCAGGUUGCCGACCGGUACAUGCAACUCAUAGGAGGUGCGUUGCCUGAUGAAAUCAACAGCGAACUGUUGCUGGUCCUGUGGAUCGGGCUGUGCUUCUGUUAGUGAAAGGGCCACUCGACGAUUGACUUCGUCAUGCAUUCUUUGUUCCAUAGAUUGCACUUGAGAUUCUAGGUUGCGCCACCAGCUCUGCUCAGCCCGAUCCGUUCUUCGCUCUUGGCUUCUGUACGAGUCUCUGUCGUCUUUGAAACCGUACUUCCACGGAACGAUCCCGAACCUGCGGACACGUCCUGGGUGCUUAGGAUUCCCGAGAGCCAAUGUGAGCUCAUCCAUUUCUCGAUCCACCACCAACCUCCCAGCCUUAACAUCUUCAAUGUUCUUGGCGAGCUGUUCGCCCUUGAGACGUAUUUCCUCAGUUAAGAUCAACAUCCCAUCCUCUGUGUUCAGUUUUCCUCCAUGAGCGAAAAACCAAUUUUUAGCUCGUUUGCUCCAUUCAUGAGUUGCUGGUACAAUACCCCGUUCGAGCAGGUCUUGUUCCAUCUUCUGAAAUUUGGGCAUUGCUAUUUUGUAACCACCUUGCCCUAGCUUAUGGUGCUCUUUCUUACAACUAGCAUUGUCAACGUUGAUGUUGAGUUUUUGCUGAUCGUCGUGGCUCCUCUUGUACUGGACAAAUGCCUCCUAGUGGCCGCUCAACUUUGGAAAUUCGUUGAAAUCUGAGUUUUGUCCUCCUUAAUGUACUUUGAAACUAGAAAUUUCUUGAAUGUUUGAAAUUGUGUGGCCGUCUUCUUCAGUGCCCAUGCUUUCACAUCCUUUUCAAUAUAUCCGGCGGGAAAUAUGAAAUGUUGCUUGACCUGUUCCCACAACAUAUCCUUUUCUGUUUGCGGCAGCGCGUCUGGAUCAUUGCCUUUUCCUCUCCAUUUCUUGAAGCUGAUGGGCAUAUUGUCCCUUACAACAGCCCCGAGCUGAGUUUGGUUCGUUUCCGUCGCUAGCCUGGCUCGCAUCGAAGGGAGCAACCGGCCUGCCAUCUUCUAAGGGCGCGUUUGGUUCGUUUCCGUCGCUAGCCUGGCUCGCAUCUGGUAUGCAGGCUAAGCUGGGCCAGGCUGAUUGCAUGCAGGUGAUCAUUGUUUGGUUACCAGGAUGAAAGUAGACAGGAUGAGCAGAGCACAUGUUUGGUUGCAUGUAUGAGCUAAGAACUGGCGAAUAGAGAAGAAAAAGCAGUUGUUUGGUUGGCUGCAUGUACCAGAGUUUGAAUACCAGAAUGUUGAAAUUGGUAAGGUUACCACAAGUCAGUUUUUAGGCCAGGUACUCAUACAACACGUUCAUACCAAUGGAGGUCAUACCAUAACUCAAUAUUACAACAAAGGAUUAUACAAGCUUGUACAAUAAAACUAGGAUAAUAAUGAACUGAACAAUGAUAAUGAUAUCUUUGGUUGGUGUGCUUGUUUUAUUCAGUUCUUUGUCGGCCUUGAACUGAGGAGGGGCUUGAUAUACAUGUUGGUUGUGACAGGCAGCCCAAGCUUGUUCUUCAGUGUUGUACCCUUUGAAACAGGCUCCCUUGAAGCCAUUGACUUGUUGAUGGCAAUCCCUCCAGGUGGAGAAGAUGCCAGUUUUGUGGCCAUAGAACACAACAUACCAAGUCAUAAUUGAAGUCCUAGAUUAGUUACACUGCAGCAAUACAAUGUGAGUUGUAAAAAAAUUAAUCAAGGAACAAUGCAAACAAAUGUUUGUGUGCUCAGAUCAUGCAGAAAUAAAUAAGGACAUCAUAACAGGCAAUGGAGUUGUACUCAGAUGAAGCACAAAUGAAUAAGGAUAUCAUAAAGGAAAUGGAGUUGUACUCAGAUGAAGCACAAAUGAAUAAGGAUAUCAUAAAGGCAAUGAGUUGUGCUCAGAUCAUGCACAACUGAAAAAGGAUAUCAUAAAGGCAAUGAGUUGUGCUCAGAUCAUGCACAACUGAAAAAGGAUAUCAUAAAGGCAAUGAGUUGUGCUCAGAUCAUACACAAAUGAAUAAGGAUAUCAUAAAGGCAAUGAGUUGUGCUCAGAUCAUACACAAAUGAAUAAGGACAUCAUAAUAGGCAAUGAGUUGUGCUCAGUUCAUACAUAACUGAAUAAGGACCUCAUAAAGGCAAUGAGUUGUGCUCAGAUCAUGCACAAAUGAAUAAGGACCUCAUAAAGGCAAUGGAUGUGUACUUCAGAUCAUGCAUGAAUGAAUAAGGUAAGAAAUAGGCAAUGUAACAGACUGAAUGAACAGAAGGUAAUGGAUGAUAGACAGAUGAAAUAAAUGCCAUAUGAAUAACUGCAACCAUGACCAAGUGUCCAUGACAUCAUAGGCAAUGUAACUGACUGAUCGAAUACAUCACAGAGGUAAUGUCCAUAGCGUACUGGCACCUUAACCCCCAACUACAGUCUCUACCUCUCUCAGACCACAACCUAACCAUACUUACCAGCCACAACCUAAGCGUGCUGUCUCAAACCAAAAGAAAUGGAGCAAAGUGUUUGAAGCUCCAGUCAGUCUAUCCUACACAAAAGAAGUCACUAUGCAAAAGAUAGAUCAGUCAGGAAGCAUGUAGAGGGAUCUACAUGUAGGAAUUCUUGGCAAGCCAUGUCCUUAGCCAAAGGAUGCGGUGGUUCUCAGCCAUGUUGACAAAGGCAUCACCCUGGGCCUUGUUGUCAACCAGAUGGGAGAAAGCACAGAUCAGAGCCUCCUCACUGAACCCUGGCAUGUACAUCACUGCACUGUACAGAUCAGGGUUCAACACCUCAACCUUGGUCUCACGGAUAGCAGAAGCAACAUCCCUCACUGCCUCAGUCAUACUGCUCAUCACCAGAUGGUCCUCCUCAGUGAGGACAGACCUCUUCCUCUUCUUGCUAGGACCAGAACCACUACUGACCUCUAUUAUAUCCUUGGGUGCUUCUCCAAAGACCUUAGCAACAUCAUCAAUGCACUUGGCUGCCUUGUCCUCAUCAUAUGGUUCAGUCUUCAUUGAGGUAUCUGUAAAGUCAGAUGGGCUACCUAGAGCCUCAUUAGAACCCAUAGCAUACUUGCCAGUGGCCAACCCAUUGCCAAAAAUGAUCAUCAUCUCCUUGUAGUUCUCAAUGUGUUUGUUCAGAAAUUCAGCAUCCUUAGGGUGUGCCUAAUUGUAGUGUGUAUGAUUAGUUAGAAAUGUUAGAAAUAAAACUAAAGGAUCAGGAUAAGAACAAGGUAAGGAAGAUCUAGGCAUCCCACACACCUUGAUGUGUCCCUUAUAGUGCUCCUCAUCAAGGCUGAUCCUGCAAUUCUCCUCAAUCCAGAGGGCACCACUUAGUUCCCUAAGCUUGGACACCCUCAUCCAUCUCUGUCUCCACUUCCUCAAGUGGUUAUACACUUGAGUACCAGACACUUCAUUGCCACUAAACUCCUGCAGGUACUUGGCAACUUGGUUCAGGUGGACCUCCUUGAAGCCCUUGUCUGUUCUAACACCACUCUCAAUCAGCUGGCACAUACGGCGCAGGAUAAAGGAAGACAUGGCACUAGUCCAGCGCAUAGCACCCUUAGGGCGCUGCUCUGCACCAGCCCCAGCAACAUGGACAACCUCAUCAGCCACUGCCAAAUCAAUCACCCCAACCUCCUCAGCCAUCCCUAAUGAAAUGCAUGCUUAACAUCAUUGCACAAACCCGUUGCCAUAUGAUCAGGAAAAAUAGAAUGUAAUUGAUGCAUGCUUAACAUCAUUGCACAAACCCAUUGCCAUAUGAUCAGGAAAAAUAGAAUGUAAUUGAUGCAUGCUUAACAUCAUUGCACAAAGGAAGUCAUUGCCAUAUGAUCAGACAAAAUAGAAUGUAAUUGAUGCAUGCUUAACAUCAUUGCACAAACUCAUUGCCAUAUGAUCAGACAAAAUAGAAUGUAACUGAUGCAUGUUCAACAUCAUUGCACAUGUACUUAACCUCAAGGAAGGUAAAAGAAAUAUAGGAACAAAUAAUCAUUGCACAUGUACUUAGCCUCAGUGAAGGUAACAUAACAACAGUGGAAUAAAUAAUCAUUGCACAUGUACUUAGCCUCAGUGAAGGUAAAAGAAAUAGAGGAUGAAAUGAUCAUUGCACAUGUCCAUAGCCUCAGUCUAGUUGUUCAUACAACAUAUUAUUACAUCAUCAUUGCACAAGUGCAUUGGCUCAGCUAACAGAACAACAGUUGAUCAUUGCACACAAACAGCAAGCUCUACACAUGAGAGGUGCCCCUAUUGUUCCACAUAUCAUUUGCAAUUUCAUUCCUUCUUGUACCCCAAUCUAAAUUGUCAUCUGUCUGAGAACCAUCAGCAGGUGCAGUACUACUACAAUUAGGUUCCCAUGUUGCUUCAUCAGGAAUAACCUCAGCCUGACCAUGGCUAAUUAUCCAAUUAUGAAGAAUACAACAUGCAAGAACUAAUUUGACUUGUGUCUUGAAUGGGUGGUAGGGCUUGUUGUCUAGAAUACGGAAUCGAUUCUUUAAAGCCCCAAAUGCCCUCUCAACUGUGACCCUUAGGCUUGAAUGCCUCAAGUGUAACAACUCUUUCUUAUUGGUAGGAUAAUUUCUUCCACCAUAUUCUUUCAAGUGGUAUCUAGUGGCUCGGUAAGGGGGCAUAAAUCCAGGACGACAUGCAUAGCCAGCGUCCACUAGGUAGAAUUUACCUAAACAAUUAAUUAGGUAGCCAAGAAUCAGUUGUAGUGGUUAUGUGAAAUCCCAAUUUGUGGUUUGUCUAAAAUUUUCUGUUACAAGUACCUGGAGGAACCCUUAACCCAUCAUCCCUCUCUAGAGCAUCAGCUAGAAUGAGUGCAUCAUGUGCAGAUCCCUCCCAUCCAGCUAGCACAUAAGUGAACCUUAGAUCAAAGUCAACUGCAGCAAGCACAUUUUAAGUAGGAUAGUGCUUCCUACCUAAAUGCUGCAAAUAUCUUUGCUGGUACUCUAGCAUGAACAUGAGUACCAUCUAUUGCACCAAUACAGUCCUACAUUAUAGCAAGACUUGUGAUUAAAGUUUGGUCAGGACUGCAGUUAGGUACAGGUAAACCUUACAUUCAUUUAAUUACCUUAAAAUAAGGAUACCACCUUGGGCUUGUUCUGAUUUUAAGUGUUGUCUCAGUUGAUGGUGGCCUUAUCAUCUCUCCCCUCAGCUCACCAAUAGCAUACAAGACCUCUCUAAAAUACCUACUUACUGUUUCCAUGGAUCUCCUAAAUGUUUGGUGGAUUACUCUAAAUCUCUGGUUGUGUCCCACAACAUGGAAAAACAUUGCUACUUGUUCCUCCACAGUACUGUUUAUUGUGUCCCUUAGCAAGUUUCUAUCCCUAAGCAGGUUAACAGGUUGAAAAAGGGAGCUCUACGCAUACGCAACAUGUUCACACAUUCUAUGUCAUUACAAUUAAAAAUUUUGUUCAGGUUGGCUUGGCGUUCCUCAUCCAUAGCACUCAUUGGGGCAUAUGUAAUCCGAGUCUGUGAAUUAUAGGCCACCCUGAGCCUACUCAUGAAGUAUGCAUAGAUGACAGACACAAAAGCAGCAACUUUUAUCACAAGCAUGCGUCUCUGGUCGACAGGGUUCAUCUAUUACACAAUGCAAAGCAUGUCUCAGCAAAACAACAAAUCAUUUUGAGCAUUCAACAAGUGGGUCAGGAAAAAAACUGCAUCAUCGCCUAAUGCACAAGUGCUCACAUAUAGGUAAAUCAGUGUAAUAAGAAUGCAUCAUUGGCUAAGGACAUGUGCUCAGUUUUCAUAUUUAUAAAGUAAUAUCAUCGGCCAAGAACAUGUGCUCACUGUUGAAAGUAAAUAAGCAUUCAUCAUCGGCUAAGAACAUGUGCUCACUGUUGAAAGUAAAUAAGCAUUCAUCAUCGGCUAAGAACAUGUGCUCAGUUUCCAGAGUAAGUAAGCAACCAUCAUCGGCUAAUGACAAAGGCUCACUGGAAAAAUCGUUACCGCUAGCUCCUUCAGGAAAAAGUCGGAGGGCUUUCAAGAGUUCAACGGGUAAGGCAAGAUAAAGGUAGAUCUGCACAUGAGAGAGAGGGAUUAGUAUCACAACAUGCAAGAUCCAAAUCGGGAGAAACAAGAACAGAUCAAAACCCUAAAAGAAAAAACUUGCCUUUUUACCUCCAACGAAAUCACCAGCACAGAUCCGACCCUACAAAUGCUCAAAACAUUAGGACCCCAAAAAAACCGAUGGAGAAAGGGAGCAAUACCAGAUCUGCGAGGGAUUACAAGUUACCUACUCUCUUUGCCACGAAACCCCGACGAAUCGAACCUCAAACCUGCGGAAUAUGAAGAGAGAGAGAAGCGAAAGGUCAACCAUCGAUUGAAUCGAGCCUCAAACACCACGGAUCUGGAGCACAAGGAAGAGAAGAUGUAUCACCUGCUACCACCACUCAGAUCUGGACGAGCAGGAAGAGGAGGACACGAGGAAGCGGGAGAGCUCAGAGCGGAGAGGCAGAGGGCAAGUGCGAGGGAGAGAAUGGGGAGAGGGGCGGCGGUGGUGAAGAUAUAGCGGGGAUGGAUGGCGCGAAAGGGGCGGCGGUAACCCUAGCUUCCCGUGCACGCCCCCGCAUCUCCCGCCUGCAUCUGAGGAGCCAUUUUUUCUGGGCACCGAGGGCGCGCUCGCGUCCCGCACGAGCCAGGCCGCCAAGAAACGGAAUCCAUUUUUUGUUUCCUGGCAGCCAGGCUCGGGGGGCUGUCUUGCACGCUGAGGGCCAGGCUCAGGUACAAAUACAGGCAUCCAAUCACUUCGACGUUGUAUCCCGAGGGCCAGGCCGAGGCAUAUACGGGGAAGCAAACGCGCCCUAACACUUCUGUGAUCUCUAGCUUUUGCAAUCCAUCCAUCACCAUGCUUCGACCUCGUGUCUUCUUAGGGUUCGCCGAUCCAGACGGCUAACAAUUCAAGAUUCGUUAAUUAGUACAUACUAACAACGAAAAAGACAUUCUAUGGGGUACAACAUUAUUAAUGACAUAUACCACGGCGGUAUCUUCUGCCGCGGCAAGGUUUUGCUCGGGCUCUUCAUUGCCAUCGGCGGAUAUGUUGAGGUACGUGUCCACCUGGUUUUUCUCUUCUUCGGUGUACGUUACGUUAUGAUCUCUACCAGCAAUAAUGUCCUCCAGCAUGCACCUUGCAUUCUUGUCAUCCGCCAUCUCAACUACUCCAAACACACAUGAAAUCAUAAUUACAUGUACGUUAAGGUAUAUAAAUAAAAUCAUAGAAAUGUACACAUGAAACCGUAGACGAAAUUAAAAUUACAUGAAAACUUCUUAAAAAUACACAAAAAAGCUUGAAUGAAACUUAAUUACAUGAAAUGUCUUAAUGUAUUACAAGUUAAUGUACAUACAUGAACUCAUAGAAGAACAACGUGAAACCAUACUAAUUUUUACUAAUUUCUACUGAAUUCUAUCAAAAUUGAAGCGUAAUUUAUUUAUAGAGAUUUCUACUAAUUUAUUGGAAUUUUUUAAAAUUUGUACUAAUUAGUACAAUUUCUAAAAAUUUCUACGAAAUUUAAUAACUAGAAAAUUUUAUAACUACCAAAUUCUAACUUCCUAUACAAUUUUACCGAUCCAAAAUUUUCUAUUAAUUUUAUAACUAGAAACAAAUAAAUAUAAAAGGCUUGCAUCACUGCCAAAUUUAUUCUAACUUCCUAUACAAUUUUACCAAUCCAAAAUUUUCUAUUAAAUUUAUAACUAGAAAAAAGUAAAUAAAAAAGGCUUGCAUCACUGCCUGCAUCCCUGCCAAAUUUAUUCUAACUUCCUAUACAAUUUUACUAAUCCAUAAUUUUCUAUUAGUUAUAUAACUAGAAAAAAGUAAAAAAAAGGCUUGCAUCACUGCCUUGCAUCAUCACUGCCAAAUGUAUUAACUAGCUAGAGCACCGGGUGCCGGGGUUUUACGCGCGCGGGCACGACUCGGGGUCGAUGACGCUCGAGGGUGGCCACGACAGCAAUGCGCGCGAGGCAGAUCCGGGCUCGAGGUGUAGACGGAGGACGGCGCGUGGACGGAAGAGUGAGGACGGGGCGCCGGACGACGGAUCGAGGAGGGAGGACGGGGCGCCGGAUGGAGGCCGAACGGAGGACGAGGAAGGACGGGUGCCGGACGGAGGAGGGGAGGAUGGGGUGCCAGACGGAGGAGGGAGGAUGGGGUACGUGGAUGGAGGAGUGAGGACGGGGCGCCGGACGGAGGAGGCCGCUCGCGGACGGAGACGAACGGCGGCACGGAUGGAGGUGGAGGACGACGGUGCAGACAGAGAGGAGGCGGCGAUGGGGAUGAAGACAACCAGCGGUGACGGGGACAAAGGCGGCAGUGUGACACCCGUGGAGCUGGCGACGGAGAUGAUACGGAGGCUAGAGAGGAGUUAAAUUUCACUAAGUUACCGGGUGCGGGGGGGAGUAGAAAUGCUAGUUACUUUUAUCCCCCCUACCAUUUAUCUUUGUUUGUAAGAAGAACCGAGAGAAAUGGACUUUUAAUCUCGUUCUUCUAACAAACCGAGAUAAACGGCCUUCCCUUUUAUCUCGGUUUUUAAGAAACCGAGAUAAAAGGCCUUCCCUUUUAUUCCGGUUUUGACGCACCCGGGAUAAAAGGACAACCCUUUAUCUGGGUUCGUAAGUAGAACCGGGAUAAAAGGUUACGUCCAGGCAGGAACUGAAAUUUACCCUUUUGUCCUGGUUCUAAUUACGAACCGAGAUAAAGGUCCUUACCAACUGGGAUAUAAUGUCCCUCUCCCAUUUCUCAUCUCCCUCUUCUUUUUUGAAAUAAAGUUUUUUUAUGUUUUCGCUAGAUUUCAUGCAGCAAAAAUUAAACUUUACAUAUUUCGAACAUGCAAAAAUAUAUUUAAUUAGCAAUUAUAUUUACAAUAAGUUUGAAUGGCACAUUAAUUCUACACUAGUUAUAUUGCCUUCUUAAAUAAUUAUUUUACUGCAUCACUAUCAUCAAGAAAUUAUCAAUUAAAUAAUUUAUAUGCACGAAAACAACUAAUUUAAGCACACAUGAAAUUGUAUCAAGUAGUACAUGAAAUUAAUCAUAAAUGUGAAGCAAAUUUAACGUAUUACAAUGUAACAUUAAAAACUUCUUCCUUACGAAUGUUCCUUGGUCAUGAUCACGACGCAAGAACGGAGCCUCUUCUUUGGAUAGCAGGAUGCUAGGGGUCAACUUCAACAGCGAAUGGAGGCAUGCCUGCAAACUGAGCAUAAUCAUCUGAUUGGUCUGUUUUGUCCUCGACUCCCACAAUUUUUCUUUUACUUGGAAGGACUAUGUGGCGCUUUGGCUCCCAUGGAUCUUCUAGAUUUCUCUUGGGUUUGCUAGAUAUGUCCUUAAAAUAGAAAACUUGAUGCACAUCAUUGGCGAGUACGAAUGGUUCAUCACUGUAUCCAGUCUUGUUAAGGUCCACUAUUGUCAUUCCAUACUGAUCUUUGGUUCCGCCAUUUAAAUUCACCCAUUGGCAACAAAACAGAGGGAUGCACAGCGGUCCGUAUUCGAUUUCCCAUAUCUCCUCUAUGAAACCAUAAUAAGAGUCCAUGCUACUAUUUAUGCCUAUGGCAUCUAUGCGGACACCACUAUUCUGGUUCGUGCUUUUCUGGUCUUGGGCUCUCGUGUAAAAUGUAUAACCAUUUAUCUUGUAGCCUUGGAAUUUCACGAUUAUGCUAGAAGGUCUCCUGGCUAACCAAGCAAGUUGUGGGUGAAUCCUAGAGUUACCCAUAAGUUGUUUGCGUAACCAGGAGGGAAAAGUUUCCACGUGGCUUCUUGUAAGCCAGGCAUCAGAUCUCGUCAGGUUUUCGGAAACUAACAUCUGCUUGUGCUACUCGAUAUACGGAGCCACAAAGGUUUACUACUGUAGAACAAUGUAGUGUGCCUUGUUGAACAAAUCAGCAUCAUUGCUCAAACAUACUUUCCUUCUAAGGGUGCCCAUUCCCCGCAUCCUCCCCUCGUGGCGUGAAGUUGGAACCCCAAUCGGGUCAAUUGAGUCAAUAAAAUCAAUACAAAACUCAAUCACCUCCUCUGUUCCAUAUCCCUUGGCGAUGCUUCCUUCUGGACGGGCACGAUUAAAAACAUAGUUUUUAAGACUGACAUGAACGUCUCCAAAGGCCACAUAUUGUGCAGAUAUAUUGGUCCGAGAAUAUUAAUCUCUUUUACUAGGUGAACCAGAAGGUGAGUCAUAAUAUUCAAGAAAGAUGGUAGAAAUACCAACUCAAAGCUAACAAGACAUUGCACCAUAUCAUUCUGUAGCUUUGUUAGCUUCGAUGGAUCGAUCACCUUCUGUGAAAUCGCAUUGAGAAACUGACAUAGUUUUACGAGCAGCAAUCGAACAUUCUCUGGUAGAACACGCCUCAGUACCACCGGAGGCAACUGGGUCAUCAACAUGUGGCAAUCAUGUGCCUUGAGAUUUGUGAACUUCUUUUCUUUCAUAUUUAUUAUUCUCUUUAUAUUCGAGGAGUACCCAUAUUGGACCUUUAGACUAUUCAAGCAUUCAAACAUGCUAUCCUUCUCUUCCUUGCUGAGAGCGUAACUAGCUGGACGUAAGUAGUGAUGUUCGUUAUCUCUCUUUUUUGGAUGUACGUCAUCCUGUUGCCCCUUUCUUUAAGGUCCCAUUAUGCUUCGAGUGUAUCUUUUGAAGGCCCAUAAACACCCAUGAUGCCUAGCACGUUCACACAAAGGUUAUUCGUCAGGUGCAUCACGUCUAUUGCGUUGUGGACAUCUAGGGUUUCCCAACAAGGUAGCUCCCAAAAUAUUGACUUCUUCUUCCAUAUCUCUGCACGUUCGUCAUCGUCGUUCGGAACAGGUUGGCUACCAAGACCUUUUCCAAAUACUACCCUUACAUCCUUUAUCAUCUCAAAGACACGUUUUCCAUUAUGAUGUAAAGGUUUUUUAUGAGUUUCUGGCGCCCCUUUGAAAUGCAUCCCGCUUUCUCCCAGCUGGUGGUGAGCAUGGAGAAAUCGAUGAUGACCCAUAUAGACUACCUUCUUACAGUGCUUCAAAUACAUGCUAUAUGUGUCCAAACACUACCCUUACAUCCUUUAUCAUCUUAAAGACAUGUUUUCCAUUACGAUGUGACGAUGUAAAGGUUUUCUACGAGUUUCUAGCGCCCCUUUGAAAUGCAUCCCGCUUUCUCGCAACUGGUGGUGAGCAUGGAGAAAUCGACGAUGACCCAUAUAGACUACCUUCUUAUAGUGCUUCUAUCUGUGUCGUCUAAGCAGUGGGUGCAGGCUCGAUAUCCCUUGUUUGUCUGUCCCGAAAGGUUACUUAGUGCAGGCCAAUCAUUGAUGGUCACGAACAACAGUGCUUGCAGGUUAAACAUCACUUGUUUAUCCUCAUCCCACACACGUACACCUUCUUCCUUCUAGAGCUGUAAAAGUUCAUCAACUAAUGGUCUUAGGUACACAUCAAUGUCGUUGCCGGAUUGCUUUGGGCCUUGGAUAAGCGCUGGCAUCAUAAUGAACUUCCGUUUCAUGCACAUCCAAGGAGUAAGGUUAAACAUGCAUAAGGUCACACGCCAAGUACUAUGACCACUACUCAACUCACCGAAUGGAUUGAAUCCAUCAGUACUUCGGGAAUGUUCCUUGGAUCACCUUCAAACUCCAGGAAUGCUCUAUCAAUUGAUCUCCACUGAGUCCCAUCAGCGGAGUGUCUCAGCAUCUUAUCUUCUUGACGUUCUUCUUUGUGCCAUCGCAUCAACUUAGCAUUCGCUUUGUUCCUGAACAAGCGCUUCAAGCGUGGUAUUAUAGGAAAAUACCACAUCACUUUCACGGGAACUCUCUUCCUGGGAGGUUGCCAGUCGACAUCACCAGGAUCAUCUUGCCUAAUCUUAUACUGUAGCGCUUCGCACACGGGACACACAUCCAGAUCCUCAUAUUCAGCACCACGAUAGAGGAUACAAUCAUUAGGGCAUGCGUGUAUCUUCUGAACCUCCAAUCCCAGAGGGAAAACAAUCUGUUUAGCUUCAUAUGUUGUGGAUGACAAUUCAUUAUUCUUGGGAAGAAUUUUCUUGACAAUUUCCAACAUCCCCUGAAAUACCUUAUCGGACACACCAUUUUUGGCCUUCCAUUGCAUAAAUUCUAGUGUGGUACCUAGCUUUUUAUGGCCUCCCUGGCAAUCUGGGUAUAGCAAUUUCCUAUGAUCAUCUAUCAUGCGCUACAACUUUGAUGCUUCCUUCUGAAUUUCGCAAUCUCUGUGUGCAUCCCUAAGCACCUGACCGAGGUCAUCAGUAUGGUCAUCUUCUACAAACUCAUCUUCAUCAGCCUCACCCAUUGUAGUAUCUGCAAAAGAUUGGCCUAUAGCGCAGUCCGGAAUGUUGUCAUCAUCCUCCUCCUCUUCACCAUCUUUCAUUACAACCCCUCUUUCGCCGUGAUGGGUCCAAACCAAAUAGUUAGGCGUGAAACCGUAUCUAAACAAGUGGCUGUGAAUAGUCCCCCAGGAAGCCUUUGAAUAGCACUUCUGGUUACUGCAUUGGGCGCAUGGACAAGAUAUGAACCCGUUCUCUGGCUUGUUCGCUUUGGUCACUUCAAGAAAAUUAUUCGUGCUAGCAAUAAACACCUUGCUCCGCUUGUCCACAUUAUACAUCCAUUACCUGUCCAUCUGCAUCGUAUUACGCAAGCCAUCAAUAAAAUAGAUUAUAAUAAAAAUAUCCAUCACAUUGCUAAAAUUUUAGAUAGAAAUACAUAAAUUAAAAUUUCAGAAGCAAACAACAUCAUAGUACGACAAACUCAAAUAUUGCUAAAAGUUACAUAGAAAUACAGAAAUUAUUUAGCUCAUAUUUAAUUUACAAAUAACUAAACUAUUAAAAAAUUUAAUAUUUCCCACAUAAUGUACUUAUUCUAAAAAUGGCUAAUUGCAUACCUCUAUCUGAAAACUAGUAAAGUAUCAAAUUACACCUACAAUUUAUAUGUCUAAUUUAUAAGUAUUAAAAACACAUUUACUCUAAUUUUUACCUAAUACAUAAAAUUGAAAUAAUCCCAAUGCUACCUCACAUUUACUAUCCAUUCUCUCUCACAUUCAAACUAUCCAUCACAUUGUAGCUCAAAAACAUGUAUAAAUACAAAUCCUCUACAUGCUUAACAACAAACAAACUCAUUUUCUCCCUCUCUAAAGUAUAAAACAAAGCUUAACAACAAUAAAUGAACGGAGCAUGAAGUAGCUAACCUUCACAACACUUUGGAUGGGUGAAAUCCCCACGGAAAUGAGGGAAAAAAUUUCAGCAGCACCUCCCCUAGGCUUGCUUCAGCGCCAUGGAGACGAUGAACUUCUCUGUCUUUGUGGAGUGGAGUGGCUCGGGUUGGAGGAGUGGAGGAGGAAGAAAGGGUACUUGUAGAUAAGAUUUUAUUCCGGUUGGUAAAUCCAACCGGACAAAAGAUUAGAGCUUUUGUCCCGAUUGGUGAUUACUCCCGGUUGGUAACGCCAACCGGGACAAAAGCUCCAACCUUUUAUCCCGGUUGGAAUUACCAACUGGGAGUAAAACGGUUAUCCCGGUUGGUGGCUCCAACCGGGAGUAAAGGGUGGCGCCGUCGGUGCCCCGAAACUAGCCGUUUUAACCUAGACUAAAAGGUGGCCUGUAGUCCCGAUUGCAAAAAAGAACCGAGAGUAAAGGUGCGCCCCAUUCCAGCCUACCGUAGCGCACCCCAUUUUCUCCCGGGCCGAAAUUAAACUAAGACUAAAGGGGUUGGGAUCUAAAGUCAAUUCUCUAGUAGUGUAUAUGCUUAAAAUCGUGACAAAAAACCAAAACAUCUAACCAUUAAUAGAUUUGCAUCCUCUCUCCACCUUGGAUAUAUCCCUACUCAAAGAGAAACAAUUUGCCAUCAUGCCUUAGUGACGCAUAGGAUCCAUCUGUAUUACUAUGGUCUCACAUAACGGAUCGUGGAAAGAAAAUAUGCAUACACCUUUUUCUCCAAGCAUCGAUCUGAGAAAAGUGAUAAUGGCUUUGAAGAAGGAGAAGCAAUAGCACGAAGGGCAUUGAGUGCAUAAGGUAGUACAAAACUAAAUAACGAAUAAUAAAUUAGAAAACUAAAACCAUUGCAUACAUAAUUAAUUUUUAUUUUUCUAAAUAAGCGUGCACGUGAGCGUGCCUAUUUCAUUGAUAUAGCAGAAAAGGGUACAACCGGGCUUGCGAGAGAAAUUAAAGUUACAACUCUACUCUUGGGCUAUUAAAGAUGCAAUAGAAUUUCCCCCUGCCUUCACCCAGGCAGAUGCCUCUUUCUUGAUUCUCCAGUUCCUCUCUUUCCUUAGGGCCUGUUUGGGAAGGGGUGUUAAAGCUUAACAGUGUUAAGUUAAACUUUAACACCCUCAAAUGAGGUGUUAAACUUUAACACAUGUGGGGUGUUUGGAUGGGUUGUUAAAGUUUAACACCUUGGCUGGAAAAAUGACUGCAUUACCCCUCAAUAAUGCUCUUAAAUGCUGUCUAAUACCCCUGCACAGCUUUGUGGUUGUUUGACGCCAAGUGCUGGCGUGCUUGCUUUUGGCGCCAAGAGCUGCUCGUGCUUGUGUUCGCUUGCUGCUCGUUCUUUGGCGCCAGGUGCUUUGGGCUUGAUUUUUUUUUCUCAUUCGGCCAAAUGAAAGAACUGAAGGAGAAAAAAUAUUCAAAUUAUUUUGAUUGUCCUACACAAGAUAGAACACAGAGACUACACAAAUGUUGUCAAUCUCAUUACAACACAAUCAUACAAAUAAUCUACGAUUUGUUGUACAAAGCAUUAGCUAAUUCAUCACGAAAUGCAUUCAUAUUACAAUCUUCAUCCGCUGCUUGGGUAUUUGUCGCAUGUCCUUCGUCGUUUGGCACUUCAGCCAUAGGAACGUAAUUUUCAUCCCGAUCGCACAUACCAAAGGCCCUAUUGGUUGUAUCAUUCUCUCGUAUGAAAUUAUGAAUUGCCAUGCAUGCUACUAUUAUUUUACUUUGUUUGUGCAUUGGAAAACUUGGUAUACCCAAUAAAAUCCUCCACUUCAUCUUCAACACUCCAAAUGACCUCUCGAUAACAUUUCUAAGGGUUGAAUGGGCAUAAUUAAAAGUCUCUUUCAUACCUUUUGGCAUUGGGUCACUCCUAAACUCCGGUAGAUGAUACUUUGUACCCUUGUAGGGUGCAAGGUAACCCGGACGAUUUGGAUAACCUGAGUCAACUAGGUAAAAUUUGCCUACAAAUGAAGACAAUUUUCAUGAGGUUAAUAAAGUUGCCACAUUCUACUAUACAAAUGAAAACAAAACAAGUGUACCUGCAGGAGGAUGCGGAAACUUGUCACCAUAUUUGUUUAAGGCAUCAGUGAAGACUCUCAUAUCAUGAACCGAACCAGGCCAUCCACUCACAGCAAACGUGAACCUCAUGUCGAAAUCACAAAUAGCCAGCACAUUCUGUGAGGUAUAUCCGUGUCUCCCGGUGUGCUGAACCAUCUUAUCAUUUGGCACCACAACCGGUACAUGCGUCCCAUCUAUAGCUCCUAUACAAUUGUUGAAGUAUGGGGCAAAACGAGAGUUUUUCAAUCUUUGGUGCACGGUCUUAAAUUCUGGAUCCUUUGACUUAAUAAUAUCCACUGCUAGCUUAAGAACACUUGACAAAACAUUAUCGAAUGUACGGCUUAUUGUUUCUAAGGACCUUACAAACAGGUCCUCAACCUGUCUAAGGGAUUGUGGUGCACCAAUUAUCCAAAGGAACAUUCCUAAAGCCUCCAUCGUUCACAUUCCUCUAGUUGCCCUCAACCCAUAGGUGUCAACCAACAAGUCAUGCAGCUGGUGAAACAAUGGUUUUGACAUCCUAAACAUGUUGUAGCAAGUGGUUCUGUUAGACAGUGUUUCAUGCACCCAUUCUAUACCCGACACAGUAGCAACCCUCUGUGGACCUUUGUCCAUGUAAGUUUCACAGUACGUACCAAUUAUGAUUGCGGCCGUUAACAUGUCCCGAGUCCUUUUACGACGAUACUAUCUCAUCCACAUGAAAGCAAGAAUCUCUUUUGAAAAGUUAUCAUCUGAUGAACUUGUCUCAUCAUCAUCAAAGUAAGAUUCCUAAGGCAGCAAAGAAAAACAAGUCAGUCAAUCCAUACGAAUUACAAACAGCCACAUUUUUAUCACAUUAAAUCCAUAAAAAAUAAAAAACAACCACUAAUUUAUCACAUUCAAUCCUUAAAAAAUGAAAACAACCACAUUUUUAGCACAUUCAAUCCUUAAAUAGAACAAAUAGUUACAUUUUUUACAUAUUCAAUCCAUAAAAAUAACAAACAGCCACAUAUUCAAUCCAUAUUGUUCAAACAACCAGACUUAGUACAUAAAAGGAACUCUAAUUCCCUAAAAUAGCCACAUUCACUCUUUAGGAUAACUAGUUACUACUAACAGUAUGAGGCACAUUCACUCAACAAUAUUGUUCUCUUUGCAAUAUCUCUUCAAGUGAAGUAGCCUUCCUUCAGGAGUAGGUAUGUUGCAAAAAAUUUCCCUCUCAUAUGGAUCUUUGAAUAAGUGUCUGCCUGCAUAGAACUCUACAGUUUCUAGGGUUGCUCCACAUUCCAAAGCCAGCUGUUGACACUUCUUAACAGACUGAACCAUCUCUUGCAUAGGGUUGAGCUUCUGUCUUUUCUCAUUGAGACUGGUUGCAAGACUCUCCCCCACAUUCCUUAAUAAGUUAUCAUCUUUAUCAGAGGUACUCAAUUUCUCAACUAAGCUGCUCACCAUCUUCAUCAAAGGGCUUUUAGAUUUCUUUCUAGGACUAGUGGCCGUUGACUUGGUGCUGGUGAUACUUGCCCUCUUCUUAUUGCUAUUGCUGACUGGGCCAUCUUCAUAUUCAUUAACAAACCCAUCUGGACCAUAUUGAUCUUCUUCCUGUACAUCUUCACCAUCUUGGUCCUCAUCCUCUUCACAACCAGCCACAAAAGAGGUAGAGCCAUCCACUACAACAUCAUGAAACAUCUCCUCUAGGUGAUCAAUGUAAUCUAGAACACCAUACUGAAAUUUCUUACAUUCACUAUAUUUGCCCUGCAAAUGGAUUUUGAUGUUAUACAUCAAUGCACAUAAAAGUUACUGUAAACUGAUUUCAAAUUUAGUGAAUACCCCUCACCUUGGUGUUUUUUGUCCAUAACCAAGCUGGGGCAUAUAUACUACCAUCCCCAUUCCUUCCAAGACCAGUAUCUUUUUGUAUUGCUUUCCAGAAAGUAUGCAAUGUUUUUAGUUGAUUAAUUCUGUUCCUGAUCUGGGACUUCUAAUAUCUCAACCCAGUGGCCAUGUGGUAUUUCUCAACAACUGUCUUCAAACCUCUUGUAGUCAUAGAUCCUUUGGGACAGUUGCCUGAUCUGAUCUGCUCAACCCAUAAAUCACACAACAAACUGGUAUUUUGUUCUGUCCAUUGUGCCUUGUCCCAUCUAUUUAUCUAGUGCAUAACAGAGACAUAGAAACCCAUCACACACAGAACAGGUAACAACAAUGCACAUUAUCACAGUGUAAAACUAACCAACACAAAAUUAACCCAAAUUCCUGUUUCUAACUAUAUCCUGCUUUCUAACUAUUUUCUAACUAAUUCCUAUUUCCAAAAUUAACCCAAACAAGAACAACCUGAGCAGGUGAACCUUAACAACACAAUGUACACCAUAUCAUUCUUUCUGAACUACCAACAUGGACUACCAUUUCAUCUUUCUGAACUACCAACGUGGACUAAGCAAGCACACAAUGUAACGUAGCAAAACCAUGAAUAGAUGAACACAAAUUGUAUCUUGCCAAAACUAAAAUAGAUGAACAAAUCAAAGAUGAACAGAUCAAUAGGAUGAGUAUCAGAACUAACCUUGGAGGUGGGGAAAAUAAGUUCGACAUUCUGUGGACCACCUUCUUCGUCGUCAACAUCAACCCAAUCCUCUCCACUAAAGGAUUGGGUAUAAUCAGCAGUGGCUGUACCUCCACGACCGCUGGAACGUCUUCUGCGGCCGUAGGAACGGCCUCCGCUGCGUCCGCCGCUGCUACCGGCACCGUCGGGCAACGAACCAACGAAGAGAGGCCUUGUCGCAGGUACUCUGCUGCGUCCACCGCUGCUACCGGCUCCUCGGCUACCGCUGGCACCUUUGCUGCCGCCGCCACCUCUGCCACCGCCACCUGCUCUGCUGCCGCUGCCUCCUCUACCUCCACUGCGAGGCCCGUGUAAGCCGAGGGUACGGCUACCGCGGCCCCGGGGUGCUCCUUCUCCCCGAAGCAUCUCGGUGUAGGAGUUGUAGUCGGCAAAAUCUUCGGCCUGGGUAUUCAGAUCCAGGGCUUGCAAGCCCUUGCGAGGACCUCCAGAAGAUUCCGCCUGCGAGAAAAGGUCGAAGGCGCCAGCGGGGAAAGGUGGAUCCGUGUGGGGGAAAAGCUCUUGCAAUCCAUCGUCGCCGUGCCCGUCCAUGAGGCCUGGGGAAGGGUUCAGGGCAAUGCGGCGCACUCCUAGCGGCGUCGAUGCCGUGGAUCUGGGACGCGGUGGGGGAAAACGAAGAAGGGCGGGAGGGGAGUUCCUGGAGGCGGGGUGGGGAUGGCGGUGGGGGAAAGAAAUGGAUUCGGAGGGGAAGGUAACGGGAGGGAGAUAACGGGGAGAGGGGAUGGCGGGAGGGGAUGAACCGCGGGCGGGAUGGAUGGCUGGCAGGAGGAGAUGGCGGCUAGCGCGGAGGAAGCGAUGCGCCGGAGGGAGGGUGGGGAACAGAUGCGGGAGGGGAAGGAGUGGGGGACAGAUGCGGGAGGAGGACGCGCUGACGGCGGGUAGGGGAGAGAGAAGAGGAGAGAGACAGGGGGCAACCAGGGAAUAAGUGGGGAGGGGGACCACUUUUAACACCUUUGGCAACCAGGGAAUAAGUGCCGCGCAUGCGUUGCCGCCGCAUUCGAGGUUGCCCGGCAGCAGUGCGCUCUCGGCAAGGACGACACCGUCUUCUAUGACGCGUGCCCCCUCCGCUUCUCCGACAAGAAUUUCCUUGAACUCCUCCAUAAUGAUUCCAUGGCAGCUUCAGCAGAUUUCAGCGAUGGUGCGCUCAUCUUGAUGAAUGUCACCACCGAGCCCUUGUUCUCUGAUAGGCACAAGAAGGACCUCAUCACCCACGUCAUCAACAUGGCGCUGAAAAACACAGUGCAGACGGUGUUCAACAACACAGGGAAGCACUCCGCCGCAAUCCGC